Molecule: long non-coding RNA, 55947 nt
Filed under: Citrus sinensis (sweet orange)
Lineage: Eukaryota; Viridiplantae; Streptophyta; Magnoliopsida; Sapindales; Rutaceae
Description: long non-coding RNA (CSIN_LNC005065)
Source: RNAcentral
GUGGUGAGAGCUGCUGCUCUCCAAGUUGGAGAGCAGCAGUUCGAACCCCCACAAUGCAUGUGGGGGUGUUUCCUUCCUCAAAUAAAAUUGAGUGAAGGCAGUCUGCUUCCUUGCCCCAGUGUGAGGAGUAGACAUCCCUCGAAUAUUUGAGAGGGUUAAAAUCUGGGCAGCGCUCCAUUAGAUUUGAUGUAUGUUGGUCCCAGUUAUAGUCUGAUUUGUACAUAUCAGUUAUAUUCUCAUGUAAUAUGAGUUGUAAUCUGAGCAAUAGUCUCAUGUAAUCAAAAAAAAAAAACUUUCUUGUAACGUAUUUCAAAAGGUUAUCAAAUAAAUAAAAGUGUUGUGUUUUCUUUCAAUAUGAGUGGCUAAUUUUACUAAGCUGAGGUGAAGAGUGAAGCUCAAUAUUUCAAACUAUUAAAACUAUUAUUUUCUCAAAUGAGUUUUAAAAUUUAUUUUAUUCUUUUUUAGUUAUUUUUAUGUCAUAUUAAUUUAUAAAUUUUUUUGGAUAUGUAUGGUAUUUUGACAUAAUGUUGACACUUUAAUAUAGUGUGGCACAUUAGGUACUUUAUUCCAUAUUUAUCCACACACAUAAAAUUAAAUGAUAUAAUAAUUAACUGGUAAAAGUGAUGCAAAAUAUAAAUGAGAGAGUAUUAAAAUUAUAGUUUGAAUACAGAGAGUGGAUCCCGAACCUUAGCAUAUUUUUAAAUUGAUUUCAAAUAAUUUCUUUUCCCCACAAUUAAUUUUCUUAGUUUUAAAUUGACUACUAGAUUUAAAAUUCUCUGUGGUUCGACCCCGGAUUCACCGGGUUAAUACAUUUUUAAGUCGUGUCAAGUUUUUGGCGCCGUUGCCGGGGAGUUUUCUAAAUUUGGUGUUAGUUUGUCUUUACUUUAUUUUAUUUUAAUUUUUUUUGUUACUAUCUUUUCGUGAUUCUAUUUUAAUCUCUUUUUCCAAAACUUCAGUUAGCACCCCUCCUCUUUUCAAACUUUAACAUUAUCCAUAAAAUUUGUGAUAAAUUUCAUUUUAGCCCAGAAACCUUUGCAAAUCAAUCCUAAAAUCGAAUUUAUUUCUUUAAAUUUCUGCAAUUUACUUUCCGCAUUUAUUUUAAAUGGUCGGUUCUACUACCUGACUGUUAUUUAAAUUUUGUUAAUUUAUGUAUUUUUGUUUAUAUGGUCGGUUCUACCGCCUAGCAUUUUAAUUUCAGUUUAUUUAUUCUUAUACAUUAAUCUAUUUAAUUUUAUGUUUUAUUAUAUGGCUGGAUUUAAAAUACCGCCUAAAUUGUUUCUUUUAAUUUCUUUAUUUAUGGCUGGUUUCACCGCCUAAUUUAUUUAUUUUAUUUAUUUUCAGUUUAUUUAUUUUUAUUUCGUAUUUUUGCUUAUUUAAUUUCAUGUUUAUUUUUAUUUUCUGUAAUUUUCAUUUAGCGUUUUAUGCCUCAUUGGUUCAGCACACAUCAUUAGCAUUGCAUGCGUCGUUGGUCUCGUACAAAUAGUGGCAGAUUAAUUAGAAGAUCACUUUCACCACCCUUAGAUAUAGCUGAGAUCGGAGCUGAAAAUUUUUCGGAGCACGAAAAUGACCAAGCCUUGUAAAAUCUUCAUGAACAGCCUAGGACCCUUAAAGACUUCAUGCAUCCUACUAGAACAGGAUCACCAUCAUGCAUAGCUUUCCUUCCUGAUGCAUCACGUUUUUAUUUCAAACCUGGUAUCUUUCAAUUUCUUCAUACUUUUUAUGGUUUUGAGUCUGAAAAUUCAUAUUUGCAUUUAAGGGAAUUUGAGGAAGUCUGUAACACAUGUACUGAUCAAAAUUGUAGCAUGAAUAUAAUCAUGCUUAAGUUUUUUCAUUUCUCACUAAAGGAUAAAGCUAAAACUUGGCUACAAAAUCUUAGGUCAGGAUCCAUCAGAACUUGGGAUGUAAUGCAAGCACAAUUUUUGAAAAAAUUCUUCCCACCCCACAGAACUAAUUCUUUCAAAAGACAAAUCACUACAUUCACUUAAAAACUAGGAGAAACCCUCUACCAAUGUUGGGAUAGGUUUAAAGAACUACUUAACAUUUUCCCACACCACAGUUUUGAAACAUAGAGAUUAGUGUCUUAUUUCUACGAGGGAUUAACAUCCCAAGGUAGACAAGUCGUUGAAAUGAUCUAUAAUGGCGAGUUUAGGAAUAAAAGUCCUGAAGAUGCAUUAGACUAUCUUAACUAUAUAGCAGAGAAUGCACAACACUGAGAUACAAUUGGUUCUUAUGAGUCAUCAAGUAAACCCCAGUCAUCUCCAUCUGGUGGAGGCAUGCAUAACCUUUGGGAAGACCAUGAUUUUCAAGCUAAAUUUGUAUCAUUAGCUAGAAAAGUCGAAGCAUUAGAGUUGAAAAAGAAUGAUCAUGUAAAGUAUGUUCAAAAUAUUUCAUGUUAUAUUUGCGAUUCUACUGACCAUUCUAUGCAGGACUGUCCAACUUUGCCAGCAUUGAGAGAAAGUUUGCACGAACAAGUAAAUGUCGUUGACAAUUUCAAAAGGUCAAAUCCAAAUCCAUACUCCCAAACUUACAAUUCUGGUUGGAGAAAUCACCCAAAUUUCAGUUGGAGAAAUUAUAAUCAUGCACAACCUUCACAACCAGUUCCUCCACGUCAAAAUUUCCAAAACCCCCAGAGUUUUCCACUAUAUGUCCCACCACCAAGAAAAACUCUGGAAGACACAUUGCAUUCGUUUAUUGAAAAACAAGAGUCGAUCAAUAACCAAAUGAUGCAAACCUUAACCAAUUUGACAGAAACUAUCUCCAAACUUACAUCUGCUCUGACCAUGCAUGAAAAAGGAAAGUUUCCUGCUCAACCUUAACCAAACCCUAAGAGUCAACAACAUCCUCAAAUGGGAAAUUCAGGAAACCAAAAUAUGAGUCAAGUCAAAUCGGUUAUAACCCUUCGUGGUGGUAAAGUGAUCGAAAAACACAUUGUGGACCCUCGUGAAACUAGUAAAGAUUCAAUUUCAAAAAAUAGGGAAGAGUCUGUCGAACCUUUAACCCAUGAAGAAAUAACCAACUCUCCUCUUGUACUCUCAUUUCUUCACGCACUAAUCAAGCCAAAGAAAUCAAACCGCAGUCUAGAAAUUUAUGAAGUUUUUAAACAAGUAAAGGUCAACAUUCCUUUACUGGAUGUCAUUAAACAGGUGCUUUCUUAUGCUAAAUUUCUGAAAGAUCUGUGCAUGGUGAAAAGGAAACAUAAAGUGCAAAAGAAAGCUUUUCUGGCAGAACAGGUAAGUUCCAUUCUCUCAACCAACAGUGCUUUGAAAUACAAGGAUCCUGGUUGUCCAACUAUUUCUUACACUAUUGGGGAUCAUAAAAUUGGACAUGCUCUACUUGAUCUUGGGGCCAGUGAUAAUUUGCUUCCUUACUCAGUGUACCAACAACUCAAUCUCGGUGAGUUCGAUUAAAGUUCCAAGAGGAAUAAUUGAAGACGUAUUAGUCCAAGUCGAUAAAUUCAUAUAUCCUGUUGAUUUUAAUUUUUUGGAAACGGAACCAAUUGCUAAUGAAUGCAAACAAAUUCCUAUUAUUUUGGGUCGACCAUUUUUAGCUACUGCUAAUGCUUUGAUUAAUUGCAGGAAUGGAUUAAUGAAUUUAUCUUUCGGACAUGACAUUGGAACUCAAUGUGUUUAACAUGUGUAAACAAUCUCACAACCAAGAAGAUGAUAAUAAUGAUAAUGAGGAGAUUGAUCUCAUUGAGCCAAUAAUUGAGGAACACAUUCAGGAUGAGAAUUUUACAAACUCUGUGGAAAUUUGUUUUGUUGGUUCUUUUGAAUCAAGUAAAGAAUUAAAUUGUGAUACUGCUAAUAUAUGUUCUACACUUGAUUCUAUGCAGGUAUUUACAGGUGACGAUGACCAAUCGAACUUUGAAGAUACAGUACAACCUAAAGAACCAAUCAAAGAGGAAGCACCAGAGCUUAAAUUAAAGCCCUUACCAGAAGAAUUGAAGUAUGCCUAUCUUGGAGAGCAGCAGACGUAUCCGGUGGUAAUUUCUUCCCAGCUCACGCAUGAUCAAGAAGGUAAGUUGUUAUAUGUACUAAAAAGACAUAAAACUGCAUUUGGUUGGACCUUAAAAGAUAUAAAAGGCAUUAAUCUUUUAAUUUGCACACACAUAAUACACUUAGAGGAAAAUGCCAAAACAACCCGUCAACCACAAAGAAGACUAAACCCUCAUAUGAAAUAAGUGGUAAAGAAUGAGGUCCUUAAACUACUAGAUGUAAGAAUUAUCUAUCCUAUCUCUGAUAGUAAAUGGGUAAGUCCAAUACAAGUAGUACCAAAGAAAUCUGGAAUAACCGUUGUAAAAAAUGAAAAAGGUGAACCAAUCCCAAUUGAUAAUCUAGAAAAAGUUUUGGAAAAGUGCAAAGAAAAAUGAUUAGUUUUAAAUUGGGAAAAAUGUCAUUUCAUGACCACUUUUGGAAUCGUUUUGGGCCAUGUUGUGUCUUCAAAAGGAAUUGAAGUUGACAAAGCCAAAGUUGAAGUCAUUUCAAAAUUACCCUCACCAACCAAAGUUGAAGUCAUUUCAAAAUUACCAGCAGCAAAGAAAAUUAGAGAAGUCCGUUCCUUUUUAGGACAUGCAGGAUUUUAUAGGGGGUUUAUAAAUGACUUUAGUGUCAAAUCUAGACCACUUUGUAACCUCCUAAUAAAAGACACACCUUUUGAAUGGAUUAAAGAUUGUCAACAAGCUUUUGAAAAAAUAACUACUCUUUUGACAUCAGCCCCAAUAAUGAUUGGUCUUUACCUUUUGAGCUAAUGUGUGAUGUUAGUUAUUAUGCCGUUGGCGCUGUUCUGGGUCAAAGAAAGGAAGGUAAGCCUUUUGUCAUCUAUAAUGCAAGUAGAACUUUGAAUAAUGCUCAAAUGAAUUAAACUACAACUGAGAAAUAACUACUUGCUGUAAUAUUUGCAUUGGAUAAAUUUCAUUCAUAUUUAAUUGGUUCAUCCACUAUUGUUUAUUCUGAUCAUGUUGCUGUGAGAUAUUUAAUGUCAAAACAGGAUGCCAAACCAAGGUUGAUACGAUGGAUUUUGCUACUUCAAGAAUUUAACUUGACAAUCAAGGACAAAAAGGGCGCUGAAAAUGUUAUUGCAGAUCAUCUUUCAAGACUUACGAAUGAGUUUUCAAUUGAAACAACACCCAUCAAUGAUUCUUUCCCUGAUGAAUUUUUAUUUUCUAUAAACAAAAUGCCUUGGUAUGCUAAUAUUGUUAAUUAUCUUGCAACAUGUGAAAUGCCAUGUGACUGGAAUUCUCAGGACAAGAAGAAAUUAUUAACAGAAAUGAAAAGCUUUUACUAGGAUGAUCCAUACCUGUUCAAGUACUACUCUGAUCAAAUUUUUCGAAGAUGCAUACCGGACGACGAGGUAAGUAGGGUCAUUCAAUUUUGUCAUUCUGAAGCAUGUGGUGGCCAUUUUUCUUAAAAAAUGACAGCUGUAAAAAUAUUGCAUUGUGGAUUUUAUUAGGUUACAUUAUUUAAAGAUUCACAUGCAUUCUAUAAAGUGUGUAAGAAUUGCCAAAUUGUAUGGUCUAUUUCAAAGCGAAACAUGAUGUCUUUAAACCUAAUCCUUGUCAUUGAAAUAUUUGAUUGUUGGGAAAUUGAUUUUAUAGGCCAUUUUCCAUCAUCAUUUGGAUUUGUAUACAUUUUAGUUGCUGUUGAUUAUGUUUCAAAAUGGAUCGAGGCGAUUCCUUGUCGGUACAAUGAUCACAAGAUUGUGAUAUGCUUUUUAAAAAAAAUAUAUUUUGAGUAGAUUUGGAAUACCUCGAGCCAUUAUUAGUGAUGGAGGUAAGCAUUUUUGUAAUAAGCUAUUUAAGUCCUUAAUGAAGAAAUAUGGAAUUACACAUCAAGUUGCUACCCCUUAUCAACCUUAAACAAGUGAUCAAGUUGAAUUAGCAAAUAUGGAGAUAAAUAAAUUUUAAAAAAGACAGUUAAUCCAAACCAUAAAGAUUGGUCUCUUCGACUAACUGAUGCACUUUGGGCAUAUCGUACUGCUUUUAAAACAUCUUUAGGAAUGUCACCCUAUCAGCUUGUUUAUGGAAAAUCUUGCCACUUACUAGUUGAACUAGAACAUAAAUCAUUUUGGGCCAUUAAAGCUUUAAUUCAAAUCUUGCCACUUACCAGUUGAACUAGAACAUAAAUCAUUUUGGGCCAUUAAAGCUUUAAUUCAAAUCUUGCCACUUACCAGUUGAACUAGAACAUAAAUCAUUUUGGGCCAUUAAAGCUUUAAUUCAAAUCUUGCCACUUACCAGUUGAACUAGAACAUAAAUCAUUUUGGGCCAUUAAAGCUUUAAUUCAAAUCUUGCCACUUACCAGUUGAACUAGAACAUAAAUCAUUUUGGGCCAUUAAAGCUUUAAUUCAAAUCUUGCCACUUACCAGUUGAACUAGAACAUAAAUCAUUUUGGGCCAUUAAAGCUUUUAAUUCAAAUAUUGAUGAUGUUGGUAAUGUGCGUAAAUUGCAAUUAAAUGAACUUGAGGAAUUAAGGAAUGAUGCAUAUGAGAAUUCCAGAAUUACUAAGGCAAGAACCAAAUUUUUCAGAAAUCAUUUGAAAUUGGUCAAAAAGUGUUGCUUUAUAAUUCUCGUCUUCAUUUAUUUCCAGGGAAGUUAAAGUCAAAGUGGAAUGGUCCAUUUGUUGCAAAAAAAUAUGUAUCCAUAUAGAGCCGUAGAAAUUGAGUAUCCAAAAGAUGAUGUCACAUUUAAAGUUAAUGGUCAAAGAUUGAAACCAUAUCUGGAAUACCAACCACGUGAAGUAGAUACCGAAAUCAAUUUGAGUGACCAACCAAAUUUUAAUUAAGCCUUUUCAUUUUAACUUUUUGCGAAUUUGAUUUACUAUUACUUUAUCGUUUGAAUUGUUUGAUUUUUUUUCCUUCCUUUUCCCUAUGCCUUGAAUGGAGUGCAUUGCAUUGUUUUUAAUUGUGUGUUGUUUGAAAAUUUUGUUGUAGCUCAUCAAAUUUUGAUACUUGUCAUGAGUACCUCCAUGAGAAGUUUCCUUUUCGAACAUCUUAAAGAACUUUUACAUGUAAAAUUUCACUUGAGGAAAUUGCUCAGAUUUUUUGGGAUCUACAACCACCAUAGUUAGUAUCCCACGUCAAAGAUCUAGAAAGACAACUCAAGGAAAUAAAGGAUGGUAUUUAUAAUAUGCAAUUGGAAUUGGAAGUAAAUUCAAUAAAAGGAUGAAGGUGAGUUAUAUUCAUUUUGUGUUUUUGUUUUAUUUUGUUGUUCUUCUUCACUUUUGAUUUGAUUUUGCAGAUUUAAUUCAUUUUGUUUUGAUUCACUCUCCCGUAUAAAUGGCGGAUAACGGUACUCCGUGACUUUUUAAGUCGGUAUUCUCAGUUUCCCAUAAUAACUGAAACCUCAAUGUCAAGCAUGGAAGAAAUACAAUGAAAUUUACAUCAACAUUUUCCCUCUCUCCCUCAAAAUGCUCUUAAGAAAAUUUACAAAGCUCGUUGUGAACGACUGCGUUUGUUAAUGAUCAAUGGGAUUCCUGCUGACAUUCGCUGAUUAAUUGAAGCAAAGGUCCGAUUGGCAGGUAAGUUUUCUGAUCCAUUCAUUUCCUACAUGCCUGGUUUUGGUAAAAGUACAUUUGCUAAGAAAAGAAGAGCUAAGCGACUUGGCUCUGAAUGUUCUCACUGUGUAAGACUUGCUUGCAAAAAGCCACGUUGUAAAACUUUAGGAAUGGUUUCUGUAAAUCGUGAAGAUAAAAUCAAAUUCGUUAAGGAUGGCAUGAGUAAAGAAUCGUUGGAUGAUAUCUUUUGAUCUCUUGAGACGUAUCCGAGCGAAUAUGUGCAACGUGAAAUUCAAAAUUUUUGAAAGCUAUUCCAAAAGGAAAGUGCACAAUUUAAUCUUGGGAAUCUGACUCUAAAAGACCUUGUUUGCCUGUUUAUAAGAAAACUGGAUGUGAAGCCUAUCCUCGACCCAUAGAGGGCGUUCAAGUCGUUACUGGACGUAAAACCAGAGGAAGAUGUGAGCCACAAUCACAACUACCAGUAAAUAUCCUUUUAUUUUACUGUUCUUUUAUCUUUUGCAUUAUUAUUAUUAGUGUGUUUUUUUUUAUAAUAUCUAAUUACUGUUUGCUUUUUCUUCUCACUGUUUUCCUUUGAAUUAUUAAGCUAAAAGCUUCACGUGUCAUUUGACAAACACACCACCCUAUUUACAGAUAUAUAUCAUUAUGUCCGUCACCAAGAUCUUUAAAUAGAAGCUCGUUUUCAAGCACUCACAAAUUGUUUCUUUUUAGAAUUGUUCUAAUGGCAGUAACUUCAAGCAGUCAACUUAAAAAUAUUUGUGUACUUUCUAGAUUUCGCUAUGAAAAGUAUAAGGAGUUCGUUCAGGUAGCCAUAGAUCUUGGUUGUGCUAUAGCAGAGAGGAAACUACAUCUUGUAUAUGGAGGAGGUGACCGGGGGUUAUCAAAGCUUGUCUCUAAAGCUGCUUUCGUUCAAGGAAGCCAAGUGUUAGGCAUCAUUCCAAAAACCUUAAAACCUUUAGGAUGUCUACCAGACCCACCAACUGAAGAAGAGUUAGUUGUCUCAGGUAUGCAAGAAAAGAAUAUUUGAAAUGUUAAAUCAUGUUGACGCUUUCAUUUUCUUGCCAGGAGACCUUGCAACUUUGGAGGCGCUAAUUACAUUUGAUUCUUGGGCCCAUUUGAAUAUCCAUAAAAUGUUAAAUGUUAAUAACUUUUUUGAUGGCUUAAUAACAUUUCUUAAUCAUGCAAUAAAAAAUUAUUUCAUUCCAUCCUCAGCGAAAAAACUCUUCAUUUGUGCUCAUACUGCUAAUGAGUUAUUUGAUCUUUUGCACGCUUACAAACCAGAGCCAGAUCCCAUGACUUUGGCGUUGGAUUGGGCAACUGAUGACGAUGGCAGUAACUCUUGUAAAAAGUGUAAAUUAGAUUUAAUUCUCCAUUUGUAAAUAUUUCCAACAGUGGCCAGGUGAUAUCUUCUAAACUCUACUCCUUUCUUUAGACAUUGAGGACAAUGUUUCCUUCAGGUUGGGGGGAGGGAAUAAUUGAUAAUUGUGGAAUGUCUCAGUCUUGGUGAUGGUUUUACUAAUUUUUGUUGUAAAGACUAACUUUGGAUAAACAUUUUAGUCGAAGAUGGCAAAAUAUAGAAUGUAGUGUCUCUAGAAAUGCAUCUUUUUAAGUUUAGUGUUUUGUUUCCAAAAAAACAAAAUGUCUUCUAACUUUUUGUUUUCUGUCUUUUUCUCUUUUUCUCUUAAUCAUCUCCCUUAAGUUUCUGCAAUCAAUCCUAAUUUUUUAGUGUUUCUUUAACCAAAAGAAAAAAAAAGUUUUCUUUUUCGGUGUGAUCUUUUAACAUUGGAUAACAUGAUGAUUUUCAAAUUUUGGUAUUUGUAUUAUCUUUGGCCUUGAGUUAUGUUACACUAUGUUCUUCCCUUUGCAUGUUGAAACGUAAAUUGAGAAAUUUGAUGAGUGAAAUUGAUUAAGCCAUUUGGAGGAAUGUACAUAUCAUGAAAAGACCAAGUGAGUUUUUUUAGCCUAUUAUCCUUGGAGAAUAACUCUGUUUGCCUAUACAGCUUCACAAUUUAUUGUACAAGAUCUCAAUAUUUUCUUUAAAAAAAAGAAGUAAAAAAAAAAAGAGAAAGUUUGUGCAGCCGCAUCUAAAAGUCCAUUGAACUAUUGGAUAUGAAAGAUUAUUCAAAGCCGUAAAAAAUGACAGAAGGCCAUCUUUGAUCCGUUUGAGCUUUUUUAGUCAACCCUAUUAUAAAGAAUACAUAGUUAACCCCUUUGAGCCUUUGAAAAAAAAAACUUUCUUUGGUAACCUAUCAUCUUUUCCUACUCCAAUGUGGAGUAUCACCUUAUGUUUUAUGUUUUAUGUUUUCCAUCACUCAAUUGUGUUUGAAAAUAAGGAUGAUUAUGUAUUCCUAAUAAUGGUGCUAUAAAAAAAAGAGAUGAUAUGUAUAUAUAAAUAAAUAAAUAAAAUAAAAUAAAAAAGAAAAGAAAAAAGAGCAAAAAAAAAAAGCACCUCGAUACCUCAAAAAAGUCCCCUAUUUUUCAAAACAUAUAUUUUUGUUUUUCAUAUUAUCCUUUUUUUUGUUAGCCAUGACCCUAACCUAUGUUACGUCCUAAUAAAAGUCCUUCUUGAUUUUAGGAAACUAUAGUAUGAAGUAAAACUGGUGAUAUGGACUAAAAGAUGUGGUGAUGCAUAAAAAUACAAAAAUAAAUUUUGCUAGUAAUUCCUUGGACUUGAGAUCAUUUUAUUUCUAAGUUGUGCGCAUUAUUAUUUCAUCUUAAUGAGAGCGUGUGAUAUUGUUUUAUAAUUCUCUCAAAUUUACCAUUUUUUAGAGUGACAAUUUAAUUUGGGGUAUAUCUUCUUUUGAGAGAGUCACUCUUAAUCGUGAGAUUUUGGGGUUUGAUGUAUCAUUCUUAAAAGUGGCUUGAUUAAUGUAGCUCUGAUAAUUGGUCAUUUUUAGGAUUUUACUGAACUGUUUUGUGCGGGUGUGAUUUUCUUUAGGCUGAAGAUAAUGCUUAUACUUUUAUUUGAUUGUUGUCAUUAAUCUGAUGAAAGAAGUAAACUCAAUUUUUCCCACAAAAAAAAAAAAAGAUUUUCAAUUUGGUUUUGAAAUUUGUCUAAAUUUUUAUCGCUUAAAUUGCUAGGGCCUAGCAAUAAGCUGGUUGGGGGUGUGAUUAACACUAAAAAGUGUACGUGUAAUAAGGAUAAAAUUAUUAGUUUUUCACUUAAAGUGUUGAUUAAUGCGCGCAUAACUUAUAAAUUAUAUGAAUGUUCCCCAAACAAUUUUUUGUGUUAAAUUAAUUCGCAAUAUGUUAAUUUUUAUCUUAUAAAUAUUUUUUAGGAAUAAAUUGGAAUUGAAAGCGGGAACAAAGAAGAAUUGCUGGAGCAAUUUGGAAGCAUUAUUGAGGAGAUGUAAAUAAAUAAAAUAAAUAAGAAAUGAAAAUGAAUAAAAAAAUAAAAAAAAUGAAAAAAGAACAAAAGAACAAAAACCAAGCAAUUUGGUUUCUCGUGAUGGUCAAGUGGCCAUGAUGGCCACUUGACCAUUACACAUUCCAAUGUACAUAUAUAUAUAAUAAUAAUAAAAUAAAUAAAGAUAAUGCAUUCCUUGCCUAUAAAAGGGCAAGGAAAUGCAGGGACCGAGGCAUGCAGAAGUGAGAGAGCUGAGCAGAGAGAACUUAAGCCGAGAGAGAAUAGAGUACAACUGAGGAAUUGUGUCUUUUUCUUCCUUAUCUUCUUUUGUUGUGUAAUCAACUUUCUUGUAACGUAUUUCAAAAGUUUAUCAAAAUAAAUAAGAAAUGAAAAUGAAUAAAAAAAUAAAAAAAAUGAAAAAAGAACAAAAGAACAAAAACCAAGCAAUUUGGUUUCUCGUGAUGGUCAAGUGGCCAUGAUGGCCACUUGACCAUUACACAUUCCAAUGUACAUAUAUAUAUAAUAAUAAUAAAAUAAAUAAAGAUAAUGCAUUCCUUGCCUAUAAAAGGGCAAGGAAAUGCAGGGACCGAGGCAUGCAGAAGUGAGAGAGCUGAGCAGAGAGAACUUAAGCCGAGAGAGAAUAGAGUACAACUGAGGAAUUGUGUCUUUUUCUUCCUUAUCUUCUUUUGUUGUGUAAUCAACUUUCUUGUAACGUAUUUCAAAAGUUUAUCAAAUAAAUAGAGUGCUCAAUGUUUCAAACUAUUAAAUCUAUUAUUUUCUCAAAUGAGUUUUAAAGUUUAUUUUAUUCUUUUCUAGUUAUUUUUAUGUCAUAUUAAUUUAUAAAUUUCUUUGGAUCUGUAUAGUAUUUUGACAUAAUGUCGACACAUUAAUAUAGUGUGGCACAUUAGAUACUUUAUUCCAUAUUUAUCCACACACAUAAAAUUAAAUGAUAUAAUAAUUAACUGGUAAAAGUGAGGCCACACACAUAAAAUUAAAUGAAUUUUAAAUUGAUUUCAAAUAAUUUCUUUUCCCCACAAUUAAUUUUCUUAGUUUUAAAUUGACUACUAGAUUUAAAAUUCCUUGUGGUUCGACCCCAGACUCACCGGGUUAUAUUAUAAGUAGACGCUCUUAUACUUGGGAGUAAUACACUUUUAAGUCAUGUCAUUGUACUUGCACUUGAACUCCAUUGAAUGAAAAUGAAACUUUUAAUUUAUCAUAAAAAAUAUUCGUUUAUAAUUUUAUUUUUUGUGUAUAAAUAUUAAAUAUGAAAAAUAUUUCAUUCACAAAUGAAACAUAUCUCCUUCCACUAAGCUAUGAUUUCAUAACUGAAAUAUUAAUGUCGUAAAAUUUUAGAUUGAUCAUUUAUAAAGUCAUGAUAUUUAUAAUUUUAUUUAUUAAAACCAAGAUAUCAUUUAUUCAUUUAAUAAAUUAUAAACAUAAAACAAUUAGAAUAUUUUUUUAAAACUAAAACUUAAAUUAACUUUUAAAAGCCUAGUCUAAUAAUUAAUAAAAUAUAUUAAAAUUUUAAUUUCAAGAUAUUUGUAAAAACAUAACAUUUUAUGUUUAUUUUUCAUUAAAAAAAUUUACUUUGAUACUUCGGGCCACAUGCUAUUGAUGGCCUAUGGGCCGCAUGCUAGCCCACCAAUGAAGCAUGUUUAUUACGUGCCUUUUCGUGUGCCGUGCUUUACCCUAUCUCUAAUUAUGCCGUGCUUUUAGGCCCACGUGUCUAAAAUUCUAAGCCCAGCCCAGCCCAGCCCAGCCCACAUGUGUGCCAUGUCGUGCCAUGCUGUAUGGACAUGUGUCGUGCUUGUGCAGUGCCACGUGCCACUCGGGCCAUUGGCCAUCUUUAUUUGAAACUAAAUACAAAUGAUACUUGUUCUAGCAUAAUGCUCUAUAUAUUUCAUCAUUAAUUAUUGUAUUAUAUAUAUUAUGUGAAGAGAAAUAAGGGAGAGAUUGGCUUAAUAUGUUGCCUCCAAAAAAAAAAAAUUCCUGAUGAGUUAUUAUGUAAUCGUGAUCCAACAAUGUAGUUUAGUCAAAGAAUUACCAAAUGACUAAAUCACUCAUUAAGAUCAAAAAAGAAUUAUUUCAUACAACUUGAAAAAAUCAAUACAUUCUUUAAGGAAAAUUGUCAAAUUUUCCUACUGAAAUCAAUAUAUGCCACUUACCCUCUAUGAGUUUGAUGAUAUCUAAAAACCACCUGGCACAAAAAUGUUUAAAAGAAAAGAGGGAUAAAUCAGUUAUUUUCUUGACAAUUUAUCUUUGGAAUAUAUAAUAUAUAUUUUUAAUAAGAAAAAUGUUUAAAAACUAAAAAAAUACUCAAAUUAAUUUCUAGAAAAAAAGAAAAAUUUAGCAGUAGUCCUCAAAUUGUUCUGUUAAAUUCAUUCAACUAAUGAACUAGUUCACCUUAAUGAACAAGCUUUAUGUCUUAUAUAAACCCCACUAUGCAAUUACAUCACCAAGCUAGCUAUUUAAAUCAUGAUCGUGAUAGCCAAUGGAUAAAUAUACUCCCGAAAACAAUUGAAUCAUUCGAAAUAUAUUUGAAAUUCCUGUUGGGAAAAUAUGCUCUUUAAAAGCAUAUGUGUUUAUUUAAUUGUAAUAAACUAUUUUUCUGAUUAAUAAAAUAAAUGAGGUAUUUUAUUCAAAUAUCUUAAUUGCAUUAAUACUUGUAUUAAAGUCCAUUUAAUCAUAUUAUAUGUAUUUAUGUGAUCACCAUGUGGAUUCACAGAAGACAUAAAUACAAGUUAUCUUAUGAUUAAAUAAAUUUAGUUCACAGUUGAUAAAUAAAGUUGGGCACUUUAUUUAGGUAUAGACUGUAAUAAAUUCAUUGAAUGAUUUGUCUUAAUCAUGUAUGAAUUUAUUGAUGUAGUACGACUACAUUGAACAGGAUCACAUAUGAGAUUUAAUUAACUUUGUAAUAACUAUCAGACUUAUUAAAUUCCUUGUGGUCAAGAUUACCCAGUAUCUUGGUGGGAGCAAUUAUGAGUAUUGGAGUUAUGGAUUAACAAUAUAGAAUUUGUACAACACAUCUCUUGAUGGGUUUUCGGUACUUGAUCAUAGAAUUCUCUGGCCAGAGUGUGUCAACUAUUUAGUAUGUUGAAAAUGAUCAUUAGAGAAAAUCAGUAAGGAUCAAGGAAUAAGAUGUUAUUAAAUUGGUUGGACAGUUGAGAUAUCAAUUUAAUUAACGAUGUGGUACAAAUGAUUGUGCAGUAAAGAAAUCAAUGUGGCUUGGGAUGAAUUGUUAUUCGAGCAUACAAUUAUGGAAGUCAGUUCCAAUCUUUUAGUGGAGUAGAUUUGGAAUUAAAUAUUUGGGCUAGUUUAAUUACAGGCCUAAUUAUUGUAGCCACUAUUGUAUGUUCCCAAAUGAUCCCCGGGUUAGCUCAUUUAAUUGACUGCACCACUACUGGACUAAUAAGUAAGAUAACUAGCUAUUUGGGUCAAAAGCCUAAAUAUAUCAUUUAGUGGGAGGCUCCAUUUAAUUAGCUUUUGUGUAAGGGACCUUAUGUUAUUUUACAAGGUGGGUCCCCUAUAGAAAAAACAAAUAAUGUGAGUUUUGUUUUUUAAUUAUUUAGAGCCUAGGGUUUUCACUAAAGGGUGAUAUAAAAGGCUUAUUUUUCUCUAAAGAAAGAGAGAAGCCUUUUUAUACAGAUCAGAGAAUAAGAUUUUUCUCUCUAUUGUUGAGAGAAAACUUUUCUCGUGCUAGUUGCUUUGGUAGUGAUAAAGGCGCCCACACGUCAAGUGCAGAUCGAACCUGAGUCAUAACCUGGAAGAUCAUUGGUGACAGUUCGUGAUCUAACAAGCGUGGUAGUGACGGAUCGUGAUCUAACAGGAGUGGUGGUGGCAGAUCGUGAUCUAGGAGCCUAAAUCACUUCAGCAGAAAAAGCCAACUCGGAUUUUCAAGGUACGAUUUCUAGAAUACAAAUUCUUAUAUAUUAUAUGAGAGCGAUCUUCAAAAUGUUUUAUAAAAAAUUUAAAAACCUAAUUUUUCCCUAACAAUUCCUCCAUUUGAAAUUUGAUGAAUACUGAAGGUAAGGUAUUUAGUGGGCAAUAAAAAAGAUACAUAUAUGUAUAAGGUUUGGAUAGAAAUGAAAAGAGUGAUGAUACAACCGCAAACUCUUGUACAAACUUAUUUUGUACAAACUGAUUUGGCAUUAAUUCAUUGGUUGAAUGAAAAUAUAAAAUAAUAAAAAUAGAUCAUGUGGACCCAAAGAUAUUUAAUUCAACUAAUUUUAUCAUGCCACAUCAGUUUGUACAAAAUAAAUUUGUACAGGAAUUUAUGGCUAUAUUAUUACUCAAAUGAAAAACAUUACCCACCAAACAUUAACUAUUGUCCCAAAGAAUUUUUACUCAACUUCGGUGAUCGGGUAUAAAAUGAAUUCAUUGGCCAAUUGAACUACGCCCAAGGGGCUUUUGAUUCCACACAACUGUUUGUGAUACAUAGGAAAUAAUAAAUCUUUUCAACUUAAAAUCUUAACACAAAAAUCCCAACAACUCAUGUAAAAUAGAACAUGUAAAUAAUUUAAUCUAGUAAUAGUUAAAAUGAUAUUAUUUUUGCAGUGGCAAUUAUGAUAUAGUUAUUCAUCUACUUAUACACAGAGACAAUUGGUGUCAAGCAUUGAAAAAGCAUAAUUUCGGAGUGAUGCAUUUAUCGGAGUUGUUUAGCCACAUCACAAUUGUCUGCCUAUCUUCUACAGUGUAUUAUCAGCUAAACAAUCUAGGACAAUAUGAAAAUAAUAUUAUUUGAAGCAUAUUUAGGAAACAUUAAUUGACGACAACAAAAAGCCUUGAAGUUUUAGUAAGUAUAGGAGUAGGUGUUAGACUAAUUAGGUAACAAAUUUAAAAAACUUCAAUAUUGGCAAAAUAAUAAUCCAUAUACAUGAUAUAUAGAAGUAAUUAAGGAGCAAAACCCACUAUUCAAGCAUUUGAAUGUUUGCACUUGCUAUUAUGUGUUUAAAAAUUAAAAUCAGUGCAUCUUUUAGUUGGAUCCUUACUUUUUGGAAAGAACCUAAAAUCCAUAAAAUUUUUAAAAAUGUAUCAUUUAUGUAACACCCGAAAAUCAAAUGAGUAAUUAUUAGUGUUAUUUUGAUUGUAUUAUUAUUAUUGAUUUAUUUUCUUACUUGAUUGUUAUUUGUUUACAUCAUUAUUGUUUUUAUUUUUGUUUGUUACUACUAUUAAUAUUAGUAUUAAUAAUGCCUUAGUACUUGAACUUUGUAGUAUGGGCCUAGAAUUAUUGUCAGGCCUAGUUUUGUUUGUUUUAUGUACAGUUUACCCAAGCCCACUAGGAAAAAAACUAAUUAUAAAUAGUAAAAGAAAACGAGAGCUUGCUUGUCCUCCACUCAUAUUGGUCAGCCAUUUAAGGUUGGAUCUUGCCUUUUAUCAUUGAAGUACAAAAAUUAUUGGGUAAUUAUUGAGGUGCCUAACAUAUGCAUUUCUAUGACAUUGAGGUCUAGUGAGUGACUUUCUACUACUAUUAAAAAUGGGAUUUUAAGAUAUAUAAAGUUAUAGGAACUAGUUCCUUAAAGAGAAUGAAGCUUAUAAUUUUACUUGUUUAUGAUGAUGCUGAUAGAAGGUCAAUUUUAAUGUUAGGUUAGGGUCGUUAGUUUACAAGAUUAAGCUUAUUGUAUAACUUCCGAGAGGUAAUAAACUAGACUUUAAACUACGAUCACAACAAACAUAUACAUUUGUGUAUCACUUUGUCCAUUUGCACAGCCAAUGCAUGAAUGACCUUUCAUUAAUACUAAUGCUGCAAUGAUCUAUGGGAAAAAUAAUUGGUCAAGCUCUAUAUAGCUGUUUUUUCGGUGUAUUAAACUAUCUGGUAUCCGAAAACCACAUUGGGGCCCAACUAGUGGUCCUACCCGGCUCGUUUUUUUUUUCCUAUUGUACUUGAGUUUCCAUUCUUAAUAAAGCAAUGUUUUAUACAUUUUACCAUGAGUUGGUUUCUUCACCACAAGUUGGUUAUUGAGUGUUCAUUCAUUUAUAUCGUUAUUAAGGGUUGCAAGACAUUUUAGGAGAUGCAAUCAUUUUUAAAAAAUAUUAUAGUUUAUAAUUUCAUGGUUUUCUUAUUUUUUGUAUUUAGUUUUACGUGAACAUUUCCUUUAUCAAUUUAAGGUAUCUACUGUAUGUGUAAGAUUUUUGGUUUUGCUCGAUAGCUAGUGAUGGCGAAUAUUUUGUGUUUGCCAGAUGCUGCUGGCUGUGAUUAGGGGUGAUAUGUUGGAUAUUGCUAGGUGUUAGUUAUUUACUUUUAGCAUAUCAGUGAUAUGGUUUGAUUACCAAUUUAUUUGGCGUAAUGGAUCAUCAGUUUAUGUACUUUUAACCUUUUUUUUUCUUAGCACAUAAUAUGUAUUUUGGUACUUUAAUUUUAGGUUCUAGUUGAUUGUUGAAUUUGGCAGAACUAUUUGAGAACAAUGUAAUAAUUUGCUAGAAUAUUCAUUCAAUGGUCAUAUAUUUAUAUUAGAUUGCAUUUGCAAAUUUUUUAUUUUUUUAUUUUUUAAUUUUCUCAAAUAAAUGUUGACACCAUGGUGUUAGUCUUUUGAUGGUUCUAUUGUAAUAGAUUUUUUUUUUUAAUUCCAUAGUAUGAUUAUUCUUAUGAUUAUGUUGUAUUAAAAUUUGUCUCAUAGUAUAUUGAUUGAAUCCACGAACACCAAAGACAUUGACACUAAUUUAUAGUGUCAAUAUUUACUGAAUACAAAUUUUAUGAUACUAAAACUCGGUGUUAAUGAAACAUAUCACUGACACUAUUUAAAUAUCUCUAAAGGUCAUUUUUCUUUGUACUAGUGCUUGAAAUUUUACAUCUGAUGGUGUUGAUUAUAAUUUUACAUCUGAUGGUAUUGAUUAUAAUGUUGGAUCAUAAACUUGAUCCAAGAUGAAUAAAUUCAAGCCCAAAUACAUAGAAACUUCUUGUGGUAGGUGUGGUUGGUGAAGUAGGUGAGUGGUAGGUUUUAAUGAAUGGUGAGAAUUUAUGUAGUAGUUGAAUAAAUGAAUGGUUGUGAUUAGUUUAUUUCAUAUAUAAAUACCCCCUCUUCCCUUUGGUUUAAUCAUCAAGUGAAGUAACAAAAAUCUCUAAGGAGUAGAGAGUGAAAAAUAAGAGUUGUAGUUGGUGAGGAGUGUUGUUGAAGAAAUAAAAUAGUGUAUUUUUUUAGUGUUUAAUUUGUUGAUUCUCCAACAAAGUGGUAUUAGAGCUAGUGUUCGAUGCUAUAUAUAGUCAUGUAGCAUAUCAAAUCGAAGAUCUCGACGAGAGGAACGCGACACCGUAAAAAUUAGCCUGAUCGGGAGCUGAAAUCACCCACACUCGCCGCCAGAAGUUUUAUGUCCUGAAGCUGAGUCGAUUCACUGAGUUGAACCAAGCUGAACCGAACUGAACCAAGUCAACUACACUGUCAUUGACCAUUGACCGACAUUGACCGUUGAUCAAAAGUUGACUCGAGUCCCUCCCAAGAUUUUUCGACCUGUCGGAUCCAUCCAUGCAUUCAGAAUCUCAAAUUUCUCACUCAAUUUGUCAGUUAUGGCAAAUGGUGGUAUGAUGUCAUUUCAAGUUCCACAAUUAAAUGGAAAUAAGUUUAACAAUUAGAGUAUUAAAAUAAAGGCUCUAUUGGGUGCACAUGACGUAUGUGAUGUCAUGGAAAAAAGCUUUAUUGUGCCAGAAAAUGAAGUCACUUUAACUACGGCGCAGAAGGAGAAUUUAAAAGACUUGAAGAAGAAAGAGAAUAAAAUAAAGUAUAUCAUCUUUCAAUCAUUAGAUGAAGAUGUUUUUGAAAAGAUUGCCGGCACAACCUCCUCAAAAGAAGCAUGGGAGAAACUAGAGACUUCUUACAAAGGAGCAGAGCAAGUUAAGAAGGUUAGUCUCCAAACAUUACGAGGAGAAUUUGAGUCCUUACACAUGAAGGCAUCGGAGUCAAUUUUUGACUACUUUACUCGGGUUGUGACUGUUUCCAAUGAAUUAAAAAGAAAUGGCAAGGAGUUAAAAGAGGUAAGGAUCAUUGAGAAGAUAUUUCGAUUAGUAGACUCGAAGUUUGACCAUAUUGUUGUGACAAUUGAGGAAACAAAAGAUCUGGAGGAUAUGACGAUCGAGCAACUUCAAGAAAUGUUGCAAGCCUAUGAAGAAAAACUAAAAAAGAAGUAAGGAAUCGAAGAAUAAUUUCUCAAGAUGGAAGUCAAUCCAAAGAAAAGAGAAGAAAGCUCCAACAAUAAGAGAAGACAUUAAGUUCGAGGUAGAGAUCGUGGUCAUGGACGAGGUUGGAAUUUCAACAACAACAACUCCAAUUAUGCCAAAGGAGAAAGCUUAACCAUAGGAUGAGGUAGAGGCAAUCUAAGAUCGAGGUAUAACAAAUCCUAAGUACAAUGCUAUAAUUGUCAAAAGUUUGGGCAUUAUACUUCAGAAUGUAGAGCUCCAAGUACCAAAAUUGAUGAGAGAGUGAAUUAUGUUGAAGAGAAAAAUGGUGAAGAUGGCGCCUUUUUACUAGCACGCAAUGACACAAGUGGAGGUCAAGAAAAUACAUGGUAUUUUGACACAGGUGCUAACAAUCAUAUGAGCAGAAACAAAAGCAUGUUCAUGGAACUAAAUGAAUCUGUGAAUAGAAGUGUCGCUUUUGGAGAUGAUUCAAAAGCACCAGUGAAGGGUAGAGGUAACAUUCUUUUUCGUGCGAAAGAUGGUAGAUACCAAAUAAUUUUGAAUGUUUACUAUGUGUCCAAUAUGAAAAGCAACAUCCUUAGUUUGGGUCAACUCUUGGAAAAAGGCUAUGAUAUUCACUUAAAAGAUUGUAGUCUUUUCCUAAGAGAUGACAAAUGAAAUCUAAUUACAAAGGUAAAAAUGUCGAAGAAUAUAAUAUUUCCUUUAAAUAUUCAAAAUGAUGUUGCAAAAUAUCUUAAAGCUUACCAUACAUCAAUCACCUUGAUCAACUUUGUGAAGAAUGUUUACUUGGCAAGCAGUUCAGAAAUAGCUUUCCAAAUGAGUCAAACUCAAGAGCUCAGAAGCUACUCGAGCUCAUUCAUACUGACGUGUGCGGUUCAUUCAAGCCAAUCUCCCUUGGAAAAAGUAACUACCUCUUUCUCUUUAUAGAUGAUUUUUAAAGAAAAACUUGGGUAUAUUUUUUGAAGCAGAAAUCAGAAAUCUUCGAAGCUUUCAAGAAAUUUAAAGCUGCAGUGGAAAUAGAAAGUGGAUACCAAAUUAAAGCCAUGAGAUCUUAUCGAGGUGGAGAGUUCACUUCCAAAGAAUUCGUAGAGUUUUGUGAAGCAAAUGGAAUUCGACCCCCUUUGACAGUUCCAAGAUCCCCCCAACAAAAUGGUGUUGUAGAAAGAAAGAACAGAAUCAUCCUCGACAUGGCAAGAAGCAUGCUUAAGAGUAAGAGGCUACCUAAAGAAUUUUGGGCUGAAGUAGUUGCAUGUGCAAUCUACUUAUCCAAUCAAUCUCCAACAAGAAGCGUGUGGGGCAAGACAUUAUAAGAAGCUUGGAGUGAAAGAAAGCCCGGCAUCACCCAUCUAAGAGUUUUCGGAAGCAUUGCCCAGAUACAUGUACCAGACGAAAGUAGAGCCAUGCUGGAUGACAAAAGUGAGAAGUUCAUUUUCAUCGGCUAUGACAACAACUCCAAAGGAUAUAAACUUUACAAUUCAAACAACGGGAAGAUCGUGAUAAGUCGAGAUAUAAUUUUUUAUGAAGAAAGAGAAUGAGAUUUUGGCUCUAGUGUGGAUGACUUCAACUUGUUUCCCAUUGAAGAAGAUGAUCAUACACAUAUAAAACAAGUAGAAGAACAAUAAGAGACAGCUACUCCAUCUAUCUCACCAGCAUCAACCACAUUUGGAGAUUCACCGCUAUUUUUCUUAAAAGAAAGAACCGAAGAACGUAAAAGGAGUCUUCAAGAUCUCUAUGAGGUAACUGAGAGACAUGAUAAUCUCACUCUCUUUUUUCUCUUUGCUGAUUGUGAGCUAGCCAACUUCCAAGGAGCUGCACUAGAUGAGAAGUGGAGAAUUGCAAUGGAUAAAGAAAUCAAAGCCAUUGUAAAGAAUGAUACUUGGGAGCUUACUACUCUUCCUAAAUGUCACAAGGUGAUCGAUGUCAAAUGGGAGUAUAAAAUGAAAAGAAAUGCAAAAGGAGAAAUUGAAACGCACAAGGCGAGGCUAGUUGCAAAAGGCUAUAGUCAAAAGGCUGGCAUAGACUACGACGAGGUAUUUUCUCCUGUAGCUCAACUUGAAACUAUUAGACUUAUUAUUUCUUUGGCUGCUCAGAACAAAUGGAAGAUUUUUCAAAUAGAUGUAAAGUCUGCUUUCUUGAAUGAAUUCCUUGAAGAAGUUUACAUCGAACAACCAUUAGGUUAUGUGGUGAAAGAACAUAAAGAUAAAGUUUUGAGAUUGAAGAAAGCUUUUUAUGGGUUAAAGCAAGCACUAAGGGCAUGGAAUAGCAGAAUUGACAAGUAUUUUCAAGAGAACGACUUCACCAAAUGCCCAUAUGAACAUGCUCUCUACGUCAAAGAAAAAGAUGAAGACAUUUUAAUUGUGUGCUUGUAUGUGGAUGAUCUCAUCUUCACUGGAAGUGAUCCAAGCUUAUUUGAAGAGCUCAAGAGAGUGAUGAUCAAAGAGUUUGAGAUGACUAACAUCGGACUGAUGACAUAUUACCUCGGCAUUGAAGUCAAACAAAAGGAAGAAUGCAUAUUUAUCUCCCAAGAAAGCGAUGCAAAGGAGAUUCUCAAAAGGUUCAAGAUGAAUGAUUGCAAGCCUAUAAGCACGCCAGUGGAAUGCGGAGUCAAGUUAUCUAAACAUGAUGAAGUCGAAGAUAUAGAUCCAACAUUCUUUAAACGUUUGGUUGGAAGCCUGCAUUAUUUGACAUGCACAAGACCAAAUAUACUUUAUGAUGUUGGACUUGUGAGUCGAUACAUGGAGAAUCCAAAGACCACUCAUUUAAAGCUGCAAAAAGAAUCCUUCACUACAUCAAAGGUACAAUUAAUUUCAGCUUGUUAUACUCAAAGGUACAAUUAAUUUUGGCUUGUUAUACUAAUUUUCUAAUGAUUACAAGCUUGUUGGAUAUAGUGAUAACGAUUGGGGUGGAGAUGUAAAUGAUCAAAAGAGCACCUCAGGAUUUGUGUUCUUCAUGGGAGAUACUGCUUUCAAAUGGAUGUCAAAGAAGCAACCAAUUGUCACGCUAUCCACCUGUGAAGCUGAGUAUGUAGCUGCCACAUCAAGUGUUUGUCAUGCAAUUUGACUCAGAAAUUUGCUGAAGGAGUUGGGUUUGCCACAAGAAGAGCCAAGCGAGAUUUAUGUUGAUAACAAAUCAGCAAUUGCCCUAUCCAAGAAUCCAGUCUUUCAUUAUCAAAGCAAACAUAUAGAUACUCGUUAUCUUUUCAUAAAAGAGCGUAUUGCAAGAAAAGAAGUGUAAAUUAAGUAUGUAAAAUCACAAGAUCAAGCAGCUGAUAUCUUCACAAAGGCACUAAAGCAAAAAGACUUCGUAAAAUUCAGAAGUUUGCUUGGUGUCACAGGAUCAAGUUUAAAGGGGGUGUUGGAUCAUAAACUUGAUCUAAGAUGAAUAAAUUCAAGCCCAAAUAUAUAGAAGCUUCUUGUGGUAAGUGUGGUUGGUGAAGUAGGUGAGUGGUAGGCUUUAAUGAAUGGUGAGAAUUUAUAUAGUAGUUGAAUAAAUGAAUGGUUGUGAUUAGUUUGUUUCAUGUAUAAAUACCCCCUCUCCCCUUUGGUUUAAGCAUCAAGUGAAGUAACAAAAAUCUCUAAAGUGUAGAGAGUGAAAAAUAAGAGUUGUAGUUGGUGAGCAGUGUUGUUGAAGAAAUAAAAUAGUGUGUUUUUUUAGUGUUUAAUUUGUUGAUUCUCCAACAUAUAAUGCCUUUUAGCCACUACCCAUCAGCGACAAUAUCAUAUUGACCUACAACUUUUAGAAGACAUGUUGCCUACAUUAUGUUGUUAUUUGCCAAUAAAAAUCUUACUAUCGUGUUGAUCUAAUCUUGCAGCCACUAACCCUCACCAGCAAUAUUGAUAGAGCCAUUAGUGGUGUUGAUGAUGUCACGACACCUUGUUUUCAAAUUUUUUUUAUACUAUUAAUAAUUGAAUUUUAGUAAUAAUAUAUUUUUUUAUUUACUAAUAGCUUAAUAAUUAAUUGAAUGCAUUUUAAAAAUUGUCUAUUUAAGCAAAAAAAAUUCAACAGUAUUUUGAGACAAAAUAAUAAAUACUCUUGAUGUAUAUACGGUCUCUAGUUGAAUUCUUGACUCAUGUUUUCUCAUGACAAAAGUUCAAUAAAUAAAUUAAUCCUAAACUAAAAUAAUAACAAAAAAAUCAUCAAAUUAAUCUUAAAACUAAAAUACAAACAAAAAAAUUGAUACUAUUUUAUUUUUACUUUACUUUUAAGGUUAAUUUGAUAAGUUCACAUUUUUUUUCUUUUCUUUAAUAUCUCUAAGAAUAUUAUUGCAAGGGUUUUAUUGGAAAUGUAAAAAAAAAAUGAUAAGGUAAGAGUCUAAUAUAAUUAGCAAGUGUGUCUUGAUGUAUUUUUUAAAAUAUAAGACAAAACAGGCACUUAAAUCAUAAUAUAAGAAUUAAAUAAGCAUUUUUUCCUUCUUAAAAUUUACGUAUCACUUAAAUUAUUCUAGAUUCAAAUCUCUUUUAUUCAUGCAUGUUUGGUUAGAAGAAAUGAGAAAAAAGGAGAGGAAUGGAAAGGGAAAAGAGGGAGAGAAAAUGAAGGAAAAAGAAGAUCAAUCUCAAUUUUAUUAUUUGAUUUGCCAUAAAAUUAAUUUCUUUUCCCUUAUUCCUUUCCCCUCUUCUCCGAUUCUUUUCUCUCUUCUUUCAUUUCUUCAAGUCUUAACUGGUCAGUUAUACCCUUAUAAUUCACAUUAAUGGUUUAAAGCUCAUUUUAUCAAAGUUUCUUAGUUAUUAUUUUUUUUACAACGUUAAAAGUUAAACUGUUUGCUCAAUAAUUACAAUAGAUUUAACACCACAAAACUUGAAUGUUUUCACAUUAUUUAUCACUUUUAUUACACACAUAAGUCCCCCACUUUGAUUUUUUUUUCUUUUUUUUCACUUUCAACCUAAUAUUCUUACAUUAGUGUACAAUCUAUUCACUUUCAAGAUCCUUUAUCUACAAUUAAUAUGCUGAAAUUCACCCAAGUCAAUAAGAAUCUAAAGAUUUUGGUGAUUCAAGAGAUGAUGAUAUCGGGCAUGAUGAGGCGCAAAAUCAUUGGAAGAUAGGUGUUCACCAAAGCCUUGUCGAAGACAAAGAACCAAGUGAAUCGGAACCAAAAGCUAUUGAAUUUCAACGUAAAAGAUCCAAAAGAGUAAGGAAACUAAUGCAAUGGUUGCAGAAGAAGAAGAAAAAUAAAACAACUUGAGAUGUUUGAAGAAGCAACAGAGAAUUCUAAUUGGAAGAAGGCAAUGGAAGAAGAAAUUGCCGCACUGAAGAAAAAUUAGAUAUGAGAUCUUGCUCCAAAACCAAUAUCUUGUAAAUGGGUGUGCAAGAUUAAAAAGUGCCCAGAUGGUUCAGUUGAAAGGUAAAAGGCUUGGAUGAGAACUCGAGGAUUCUUACAAUAAUACAGGCUAGACUAUGAUGAAAAAUUUUAUCCAGUGGCAAAGCCCACAACAAUAAGAGUCCUACUUGCACUCGCAACUAGCAAGGAUUGGAAAUUGUAGCAGAAAGAUGUAAAUGGAGAAUUAGAUAGAGAGAUCUCUAUGAAUCGACCGAGAGGAUUUAAGAAUAAAGCUCAUCUGAAGUAUGUAUGCAAGCUGAAAAAGACACUUUAUAGUUUAAAGCAAGCACAAGGGCAUGGUAUGAUAAGAUUGUUGAAUUUCUAACUCAUAGUGAUUAUUUAGUGGCAUAUGUAGAUUCUAGCUUAUUUGUCAAAGUUAAUGAAGCAAAGUUAGCAAUUGUACUAGUGUAUGUGGACGAUUUGAUUUUUACUGGUGACGAUGAAGAAGAGAUUCAAUGAAUAAAAAAGAACUUAUUAGUUCAUUUUUAAAUGAAAAUGCUUGGUUAGCUUAAGCACUUCCUUAGUCCAGAGGUUGAUUGAAUAGAACAGGGUAUAUUUCUUUGCCAAUUGAAAUAUCCCAAAAACUUGUUGAAGAAGUUUGGAAUGCUGGAAUGUAAGCCAAUCUCAACUGUAAUGAAAGUCAAUGCAGAAUUGUACACACAUGAAGGCAAAAAUUUAGAAGAAGAAACGAUGUAUCGACAAUUAGUAGGAAGUUUAAUCAAUCUAAUGUUGACUCGACCAAACUUUCAUAUGCAGUGGGUGGAAUCAGUUGGUACAUGCAAAAUCUGAAGAAGCCUCACUUGGAAAUGGCUUGACGAAUACUAAGAUAUAUGAAAAGUACAAUUGACUAUGGUCUAUUAUACAAGAAAGAUGAAGGUUACAAGCUGAUUGGCUAUUGUGACAAUGAUUAUGCCGGAGAUCAUGAUACAAGAAGAUAAACUAUGUUUUCAAAAUUGGAUCUAGAAUAGUUUCAUGGUGUAAUAAGAGAUAACCAACUAUCACUAUUAACCAUUGAAGUGGAGUAUAAAGCAGCAACGACAACAAUUCAAGAAAGCACUUGGUUGAUGCAGUUGAUGAAGGAUUUAUAACAACAGUAGAUUAUGUAGUACCAUUAUACUGCAAUAAUCAAUCAGUGAUUAGCAUGGUAAAAAAUCUAGUUUUUCAUGCAAGAACUAAGCAUGUGGAGGUGCAUUAUCACUUCAUCAGGGAAAAGGUCGUACAAGAUGAAGAUGAAAUGCGCUACAUCAAGACGAAUGAUCAAGUUGUGGAUUUUUACAAAAAUAUCCUGGUAUCGAAAAGUUAAGAGAGUUCUGCUAAUAGCUCAAUAUGGAUCGAAAAAUGAAAGCUGGUGUUGAGGGGGAGUGUUAAAAGUCCAACACCAAUUUCAUGAUCCAAUCCAAUUACAUUUGUCCAAGCCCAAUCCAUGGAAGCUUCAAGAGUCAUGUAGAGAAUGAGAGAAAUUUCUAAAGCUAAAACUAUCUAAUAGCUUUGAAAAUAUGUAAAGUCUAGAUAUUUCUUGAAUAUUUGAAGAUAUUAACAAAACGUGGUUGUUCAAUUUUUGUAAUUUAAUAUUUGUGUAGUUUGUAUUAGUUCUAAGAUUCUAUUAAUAUUUUAAGCUCCUUGUUGUAGGCAUUAAGUGAAGACUAAAGAAUCAUAAAAGAGAGAAAGAAGAGUGAGUCGUGAAUGUUGCAGUGUCCUUUCUGUAAAAUAUCAAUAAAGUACUUUAGUUUAGUAAAAUUCUUCUAUUGCCUAUAUAAUUUUGGUUUUGAGCGGUUUAGUCCUCUUCGUUUUGUCAACAGAAACAACCUUUAAUGCCAUAAUAUUUUUCCUACUAGCAAAAAUAUGAAUUUUUUAAUUUCUAAAUUUCUUUCAACAAACAACUAGGACUCAAGAAAAAAUAACCUGAAAAUCAUCAUAGUAUAUUUAGUCUAAAUCAAAAUCACCUUUUUUUUGUUCGCUUAUUUUUAAUUUUCAUUUUUAAAAGAUAAAUAUAUGGGUAAAGGUAAAUCAAUUUUUUAAAUUUCUACAGUAAAAUCUGUAUAAUUCAAUAGACGACAAAUUUAUAAUAUUUAUCAGUAAAAUCUCGCUUAAUUAAUACUUGAUAAAUUGAUAACUUUGACUAAAUAAUAGCUUUUGUCGGUCUCGACUUGGGUAACAUGGUAAAUUAAUAAUGUGAUAAAUUUAUUAGAUAAUAAAAUUUAAAAAAAAAAUAAUUUUUUGCAAGAUCCAAUUAACGCAUAAAUUAAUAAUUAAUUAAUUUGAAACUAAAUAUAUAUAAUAUGUCUAUGAUUUUCUUUGUUGUAUUAGCAUAAUUCUUUAUCUAUUUGAUUGGUCAUUGUUGUAUCUAUAUGCUAUGUUAGGAGAAAUAAGAGAGAGGCUGGCUUAAUAUGCUACCUCUAAAAUGCCUUUUCAGAUGAGUUACUAUAUAAUUGUGAUCUAGCCAAUGUAAUUCAGUUAAAGAAUUAUCAAAUGUCUAAAUCACUUAAUGAAUAUCAAAUUAGAAUUGUAUCAUAUAACUUGACAAAAUAACUGCAUUCUUUAGGGGAGAUUGCCAAUUUCUCAUACUGAAAUCAAUAUAGACUACUUACCCACUAUGAGUUUGACAAUAUCCAAAAACUGUACGACACAAAAAAAUUAAAAAAAAAAGAUAAAUCAGUCAUUUUCUCGAUAAUUUAUCUUUUAAAUAUAUUAAAUAUAGGAUGGUUGCGUGAGAUGAGUAGAUACCUUUUGGAGGCCAUAAUUUGGUCUUGAAGUACCUAUUUUGGGCUAUAAUAUACUGUUUUGAAGCUUGCAAUGAGGAAAAUGAAACCUAGAAUGACUUUUGCCAAUCUUUCCACGAUUGAGCUGAAAAAUUUUGCUUUUUGCUUGUUCGUUUUUUAGUUUUAAGAUAUUUUUCAUUUUUCCUGUUUCUUUUAGGAUUUUUAUCGUUUUUCCUAUAUGUUGGAUUUGAAUGUCGUUUGUUUUUUUUUUUAUAUAUUUAGAAUAGGAGAAUUUUAUUAUAAAAGAUAUUUUGGAUUUGCCUAUUUUGGUAAAUUUACGAUAUUUAGGAUUAUUAUAUAAAGGGGCCCAAAAAUCUAAAUUUUGUUAAUUCAAAAUUUCUCAAUAAAACUUUUAUAUUCAGAAACGUUUUUACAUACUAACGAAGUAGAAUUGAUAUGGUAGGAAAACACUAGAUAUCGUUCUAGUACCAAGUUUAUGAAUUAGCUUACACUCUAAUCAAAGUGUAAUUAGAUCUCGUUCUAAUCUAAACAACUCAAUAAGAUUUUUAGUAACUCGUUAUGCGAGAUUAGAUGACACUCUAAUAUAAACAACUCUAUAAGAGAGAUUUUGAUGGAUAAUCACAAAGGGAAUUUUGAAGACAGUUUUAUUGAAUACUUGUAACUAUAGUCCUAAAAAUAAUAACAAGACUUCUCUAUAUAUAAUAGAGUAAGUUUACUUUAAAAGGAAACUAAAUCACAAUUAUAAUAGAGAUAAAAGACUAAGAUACUAACUUUAAUUAAUAUAAACUUGAAACUUAUGUAGUGCAUAUUUUUUUGUCUAAAAAUUAAAUAGAUCUAAAUUUGACCGAAUUUUGAAUAUGAAUGCAUAAUUUUGAAUGAUAGGUUCAUUUUUCAUUUUUCAAUAUUAAAUUAAAAAUGUUAUGUUGUUUGUUUUAGGAAAAUUAUCCACCAACCACUUGUUUUUUCACCGUUUUUCAAAAAUACACAAAUCUUUUUUUUUUUUGCAGCGCUCCACCUGAAGUUAACAUUUUUUUCAUUGGUCCACCACCGUUAUAACACCGUUUGAACUUUGCUGACAUCAUAAGGGUAAAAUUGUCAUUUCACAAUGACAUAGUGGUGGUCAAAUGCAAAACAAUAUAACUUCAAGUGGAGUUCAGCAAAAUUUUUUUUUAAAUUGUGUAUUUUUGAAAAAAUAAGAAAAAAACAAAUGGUCGGUGGAUAAUUUAUCUUUUACCUUGAGGGUAAAAAAGUUAUUUAAACAAUAUUCCAUUAGUUUUCUUAACGGUCUCCAAAUAAAAGUGGACAAGUAAAAAGAAAUGUAACUUCAGGUGGAUUCGAGAAAAAAAAAUGAAUUGUGUAUUUUUGAAAAAGCUCGAAAAAAAGGUGGUCGGUAGAUAAUUUCCCUUUAUUUUAUAAUAAACAAAUUAAAAUAUACGAAAAUCAAUUUUUGAACAUAAGUGUAACAUGUCCUUUAAAUUUUUAAACACUUUCUUAUUUAUUUAUUUAAGAAACCUCGAUGGUAUAAGAUAAAGAAAAUGACAAUUAUCCACCGACCACCUAUUUUUUCGCACUUUUUUAAAAAUACAUAAUUCUUAAUUUUUUUUGCUGAACUCCACUCGAAGUUAUAUUAUUUUGCACUUGUCCACUUCCGUCUUCAAACUAUUAAGAGAACUAAUAGAAUAUUGUAUAAAUGAUUUUUUUACCCCCAAAUGUAAAAGAGCAAUUAUCCACCGGCCACCUUUUUUUUAUGUAUUUUUUGAAAAAUACACAAUUUCUAAUUUUUUUUUUACUGAACUCCACUUAAAGUUAUAUUGUUUUGCACCUGUCCACUUCUGUCUUCAAACAAUGUCAUUGUGAAGUGACAAUUUUACCCUUAUGAUGUCAGACCAGUGAAAAACAUGUUAACUUCAGGUGGAGCGCUGCCUAAAAAAAAUAUUUAUAUAUUUUUGAAAAAGAUAGAAAAUAUUGGUGGUUAGUGGAUAAUUACCCCAAAGAAAAUUACAUCCAUUAAAAAGGAAGUAGUUUGCUUUACUCCUCAAAUAAUGCAUGGUGCUAAAACAAAAAGGAGGCAAAGCUCUAAAGUAAAACUAUUAUUAACAUGCAUGAAAGAAUCCAAAUAUAAGAAAGAAAACAAGCAAUGGUAUAAAUAACUUAAGAAUUCAUAAGCAUCAUUUCUAAACAGUCAGACUAAGUCAAGUCAUGACAACAGGCGCCAAGAUAAGCCAGAAGGUCAAGCACACUACUGCGUAGAAGUUCAUAUCAUGUUGUACCGCGAAUUUUGGAAAGCCCAAAGGGGCUCCCACCACAGGAUUUUUUUUUUUUAUAAUAACUUCGAUAAAGAAAGUAAUUUAUUAGAUAAAAUUCAAGAACCUAGACCAUGUUGUAUAACUGAUUUGGAGAGCCUAAGAGGGAUCCAACCUCUGGCCCCUUUUUUUUUUGAAUAACCUCAAAAAUUUCAGAAAUAAAUUAAAUGAAAGUCCAGCGGAAUGACAUAAUGAGCUAUACUUCUUAAGAUGAAUAAGUGCGAAAAAAAAACUUAUAGAUUACCACUAUAAGAAAACAUGCAAUAGAUGACAGACAGUUUAUGACAGAUUCAACUUAUAUCAUAAUAGUAUGACAGACUCGUGAUAGAAUUUUCAAUCUAUCAUGAAUUAAUGAUGAUUUUGUGACAAUAUUAUUUUCUAUCAUAAAUUUAUGAUGAUUUUGUGAUAUAAUUAUUGUUUAUCACAAAUUUGUGAUAGAAUCGUGAUAAAAAUUUUCUCUGUCAAGAAAUUAUGAUAAAAAAUUUACUUUGACUAUGUUUGACCUAAAGUUUAAUAUAUUAUUUUAUUUAAAAAAACAAAAGGGAGCAUUUUAAUAAUUCAAAAAUGAAAAAAAGAAAAAAGAAAAACACUACUGUCUUAACCCACCAAGCCCCAAAAUCACUAACACUCACACCCAAACACUCAUCACUCUCUCACGACCAAACCCUAGAGAUCAACCUUGCACUCAAUCGAUCGAGCAAAACACCAUCCUUUCGCCUCCAUUCAAGUAUAUUGUAACUAUGCCGGCAAUGUUGUUUAAAAAUUGUAGCUCGUUGCUGUCGGCACCAUUUUGCUAGUAGUAUUAAAAUGCUGGGUUUGUUGCUGCUGUGUUGCGCGGGGUUCGAGUGGCUGCUUCUACGUCGCGUGGGAGUGGCUGCUGCUACGUCGCGCUGCUGAUGCUGUUGGGUCGCUACUACAUUGCGUGCUGCUGGGUUGUUGAUGGGUGAUGGCUGUAAUUGUUGUAAAUUUAUGAUGAUUUUGUGAUAUAAUUAUUGUUUAUCACAAAUUUGUGAUAGAAUCGUGAUAAAAAUUUUCUCUGUCAAGAAAUUAUGAUAAAAAAUUUACUUUGACUAUGUUUGACCUAAAGUUUAAUAUAUUAUUUUAUUUAAAAAAACAAAAGGGAGCAUUUUAAUAAUUCAAAAAUGAAAAAAAGAAAAAAGAAAAACACUACUGUCUUAACCCACCAAGCCCCAAAAUCACUAACACUCACACCCAAACACUCAUCACUCUCUCACGACCAAACCCUAGAGAUCAACCUUGCACUCAAUCGAUCGAGCAAAACACCAUCCUUUCGCCUCCAUUCAAGUAUAUUGUAACUAUGCCGGCAAUGUUGUUUAAAAAUUGUAGCUCGUUGCUGUCGGCACCAUUUUGCUAGUAGUAUUAAAAUGCUGGGUUUGUUGCUGCUGUGUUGCGCGGGGUUCGAGUGGCUGCUUCUACGUCGCGUGGGAGUGGCUGCUGCUACGUCGCGCUGCUGAUGCUGUUGGGUCGCUACUACAUUGCGUGCUGCUGGGUUGUUGAUGGGUGAUGGCUGUAAUUGUUGUUUGGGUGUGUGAGGCAGUGAAGAUGUGGCUGUCGGCUAUUGUUUGUUGUUGCUUUACGGAUGGUAGGGUGAGUGAUUUUGGGGAUUUAGGUUUUUGGUUGUUGCUUCGCGUGAGAGAGAGGGCGGCUGAGGGAGGCAAUUUGGUUAUUUGGGGAUUUAGGUUUUUGGUUGUUUUAUUUUGCUUUGUUUUUUAUUUUCUAGUUUUUUUCUAUUUCAAUUUUUUUUUUAUAUAUUAUAAAGCCUCUUUGUAAAAAAAAAAACCGGUAAUAUAUGUUAACAUAUAAAAAACCAGUAAUAUAUGUCAUCAACUGCAGUGGUAUUCUUCUACACCAUUUUUUUUACAAUCGAAUUCCUCUUUUCAUCUUGGCUUCCGCUUGUGAAUUUCUAUCUAGUUCAUGCUUUUCCUGUUACCUGUGCUAGGUGGUGAAAUUUUUGGUAGAACAGAUGUAAAAGAACGUGCUGAUGCGGUUUCUUCUGUAGUUGCUCUUAUUGGGGUUGGUAAGAAACUUUUGUUUAAUAAGCAUGUAGUUUUGUGUAAAGACUAGUAAUAUUUUGGUGUCUACUUUUGUAGCCAACUAGGAUAAUGCUUUUUCAAAAUAAAAAAUACUUCCAGCCGUACUAUUGUAACCUUAAAAUGAUAAAAAGUAGUUGAAAAUGUUAAAUUUGACUUCAACUCUUCUCACAAUGGUCAAAAGUGUCCAAAGGAAUAUCCUAUAAGCAGCAGUUACUGCACUUUAGAGAUAGUCAUAUGGGUGUUGUCUCCUGUCAACCUAUUUGUCAACUUAGGAUGGUGUUCUUAAUUUCUGGUUAUACAAGAUUGAGUAUGUUCCUAAAAACUUGGUUGUACAACAUUGAGCAUGUCCCUGAAAACUACCUCUCCCACGGUUUGUUUAUUUAUUCCUUGUUGGUUUUCCUUAAACUAUUUAAUGCUUUGCAAUCCUAUUAAUACAUACUAACUACAUAUUGUCAACAUGUUUUAGGAGGUUCUAUUCUUGGAGUUAAGUUUCAUUAUCCCCUUGUCGGUUUAGUUAUCUCAGGUCUAAUCCUAAAAGCUGGACUUGAGACGGGUUAUCAGAGGUACAUUAUCUGUUUUCCUUUAUAUACGUACCAUCUAAUUUGUUGUCCACUCUGUACCUUCUUUGUUUUUUGUUUAUACUCAUGAUAGUUUCUAAAAAUUGUGGUUGUUUAGCCCUGAAGAGGCCAAAUUGCAUCCAGUCUUGAGUUUCCACUUCCUUUCCUUUUCUUUUACCUGUUUUCUUUGACAUUAGUUGUGGUUCUUUUGAUUUGUCCAUAAGAUUAUAGCAAUCUGACUUAUAUCAAAGUCUUUAUGAGUGGAUUUCAAAGCUCAAUCAACUCUCAUAAAAAGGCAUUUCCCUAGUUUUCCUGAUUGGAUUUUGUUUUGAACUAACAUGCACUUAUGUUUAUUCUUUGGUUAGUUCUUUGAUUCAAUUUUAUUGUACAAGAACAUACUUUUGUCCCCUGUAGACCAAUUGUAUUCCUUUUUUCUAUUUAUGGGGUGAUAAUCCUUCAAUUAUAACUUUUUUCAAAACAACAUCCAUCUUUGUUUUAUAAUUUUAAGUGCUGAAGUGAAACUUUUUUUUUAACUAAAAAACAAAAGAGUUCUUGAAUGACAUUAGAGAAAUUGUCUUUUGUGAUUUUACGAUGUAGUUCCUUGUUUAACGUGUUCUUUUGGGAUUAUUGUUAGUGUCUUGGAACUGGUGGAUGCUGCAAUCCCAGUAGAAAAUUUGAUGCCUAUACGAGAAACAAUACUAAAAGUUGAAGGAGUCAAGGUAUGUACUAGACUUUUUUGUUAAUUUAAAAUAUAAAUUGUUUGAUUUCUACCUGUGGGAUUCCAUAAUUUUAAUUUAGCACUAUACUUUCUUCGUCAGUUUUAGCAUUCACUGCUGAUGACGUUAAGAAUUUUUGUCAUUAUUAUUGCAUUCUUAGCAAACGAGCCUUUCUCUGCAGGGGUGCCACCGUUUGAGGGGAAGGAGGACAGGUUCACCUCUGUACCUUGAUGUGCAUAUUGUGGUAGGUUCUUUAGAUUAUUACAUGCUUUAUAUUUAAUAUAGAAGUUUGGGCUGGACCAUGAAACUUCAUCCAUAUAAGAGUAAUGAAUCUUAAAUAUGAUUUCUUCCCUAUGUGGUUUCUUUUAUCUGGCAGGUUGAUCCAUUUUCUAGUGUUAGUGCUGCUCAUGGUGUUGGAGAAAAUGUUCGUCAUCAAAUUCAUAAGUCCCAUCCGGAAGUAUCCGAAGUUUUCAUACACAUAGGUGUGUUUCCUGGUCUCUGGUCUCUGGUCUCAUCAUCUUUGUAAUAGUUUUGGACAAUCUAGAAUGGAGCUACUUUUAGUUGCUAUUUUCACUGCAGCCAUGAGUUUUUGGAUUGAAUAAUGCAUCAGUUAGUAUCUUGUUUCUUGACUUUUAAAAGUAAAAUGAUUUCGAGGUUUGGUGUUUGCACCUUCAGGCUCUGACAAACAUUCUUUUACCUCUUAAUAGUAAACCAGUGGUCAUUAAUUAUGAUGGUUGAGGUCACUGCAAGCAGCAUGCUAUUCAUUGUUGCUCCAUAUAUGAGAUUUUCUGAUAUUUUUUUUAUUAAUUAAUUAAAUUUGUAAUUAGGAAUUCAUCAAUAAAUUAUAAUUAUAAUAUAAUUUUAGAAAAAAAUCAAACUGCUGUACCGUACAUCCGCCUUGGCCGAAAAAAAUCAAAACUUUAUGAUGGAAAAGCCAUCAUAUAUUCUAUCAUAAAUAAUUUCCCGCCAAAAUUGAAUAAUAAAGUUUCAAAUAAUAAUUGAAUUUUUUCUCACUAAAAAAUUAAAAAAAUGGUGCGAAAAUUUAAAUAAAUUUAAUUUUUAAUUUAAUUAUUUUUUAUAUUAAAAUAUUAUGUGACAAAUAUAUGACUAUGAAAUGCUAUCGUAAAUUCAUGAAGGAAAAUAUUUUGUCAUAAAUUAAUGAUAGUGACAUAGAUGACGGAUGAACUGUCAUAAAUUAAUGACAGUGAUAUAGAUGACGGAUGAUCUGUCUGUCAUACACCUCCUUUUAUGAUAGUUAUUUCCCGUCAUCUAUUGUCUGUUUUCUUGUAGUGUACGGAGGCAAAUAAUGAAACGGAUCAUAGUAAGGGAAUUCAUUAGCAUCCUUAGAUUUACGCGCGAAACUAUCCCUAAAUCUUGUUAGCUUAUCUUCAUCGAUUAUCCAUUUGAACCGGUCCCUUCCGAGUAAAUAUCAGCUGUAUGAGAUUAAAGACGAUCCGAGGAACCUCUUCGAAGAAGAAUGUUGUUAGUCUUGCUUGUAGCAAAGACAUUCGAUGCCAAGAUGUUGAGAUUGGUGAAAUAAAUUUGGUGUACAGUGGAGUUGAUGAUAUGGGUCCAGCAAUAUCUAUUCGUUCAAAAUGCUAAACCGACUCUUAUUGGGAAACCGAUUCCAGCCUAUUGAGUCUUGGAUUUCCAAGACUCUUCAUUAUCUAUAUCUUGGAUUUUGUAUUUUCAUAAUUUAUGAUUCCACGCAUUCGAGGAGGAUGUCUAUUGCCCCAUUGAUGACCUGAAAUUGGCGUACUUCGAAAGAUAGUUUCUUGUCCCAUUCGUUCUUUGUUCUUCUCCAUUAAACUGCGAAUUAACAAAGGCAUGAGAAUUCAAGUGAGUUCUAUGUUGGAAAAUGAAUUCUUUAUCACAACGUUUCAGUAAAGCAAACACAAACACAGACCUCACCUACUGAAUUUAGUUAAAGGAUUAUUAUCAUCAUUGGGAUGGGGCUAUUUGCACUGUAAAAAAUACUUAUUAUUGUUAUUUUUUUGGGAAAGGAAAGGUAGGGAGUUUGAGGGAUGCACAAAUUUAUUUUAGGCCCCGACUUCCCAAAGAAUUCAAAGAUGGAAGGUCAGCUGAUGAGAGUCAUUUGAUAAAUGAAAACCACUAGGUCGAGUCAUUUGAGGCAUGCAACUUAUUUACUUCUUUUUUUUUUAACCUUAUAUUUUCCCUAAGAUUCGAACUUGAAUGGCCAGAUAAGUAAAGCAGCUUCAAAACCACUAUGCCAAGCCCCCUAAGGGUAAGCCGUGUCCUUGCUUAUUUCAUUAGGUAGAGUCAACUAAAUUUGCUCAGAUUUUUCACAAUUAAUCUUGUUGUUCUCUAGUUAUUAUUAAUUAGGUAAAUUUGAAUUCCUUUAUCUUAACAUAUUUGAAUUAGUAAUCUCGAAAGUUUCAGUUGGUAAUCUUUAAAAUAACAUAACUAUGUUUCCAUUUACGAAUGUGUAUAGACACAUGUAGGUGUAUGUUACGCACUAUUCCCUAUAAAUGUUUUGACAUUUUCCUUCUACUUUGUUCAAGCUUUAACACUACUAAUACAAAACUAAAAGGAAACAAAAAAUCGUUUUUUUUCUCUAUUGAAAAAAAGGGUAAUUGGCAUUGAGCCUCAGCAAGAAGGUGCAUGUUGUCAUUUGGUGGUUGGUUCAAUGCCAGGAAGUGGUUUGUAACAUCUUCAAUUCAGGGGUGACCAAAGAAGGAAGGCCUGCCAGAUGGUGAGUAACAUACACCUACAUGUGUCUAUACACAUUCGUAAUUUCAGACAUAGUUAUGUUAUUUUAAAGAUUACCAACUGAAACUUUCGAGAUUACUAAUUCAAAUAUGUUAAGAUAAAGGAAUUCAAAUUUACCUAAUUAAUAAUAACUAGAGAACAACAAGAUUAAUUGUGAAAAAUCUGAGCAAAUUUAGUUGACUCUACCUAAUGAAAUAAGCAAGGACACGGCUUACCCUUAGGGGGCUUGGCAUAGUGGUUUUGAAGCUGCUUUACUUAUCUGGCCAUUCAAGUUCGAAUCUUAGGGAAAAUAUAAGGUUAAAAAAAAAAGAAGUAAAUAAGUUGCAUGCCUCAAAUGACUCGACCUAGUGGUUUUCAUUUAUCAAAUGACUCUCAUCAGCUGACCUUCCAUCUUUGAAUUCUUUGGGAAGUCGGGGCCUAAAAUAAAUUUGUGCAUCCCUCAAACUCCCUACCUUUCCUUUCCCAAAAAAAUAACAAUAAUAAGUAUUUUUUACAGUGCAAAUAGCCCCAUCCCAAUGAUGAUAAUAAUCCUUUAACUAAAUUCAGUAGGUGAGGUCUGUGUUUGUGUUUGCUUUACUGAAACGUUGUGAUAAAGAAUUCAUUAGAGAAAACAGAAAAAGAAAGAAACUCAUAAACCAUAAGUUCUUAAAUUGUCAAUUAAAAUUCUUCUAAAUUGAAAUUGAUUUUAUUCAAGUCUUUAACUGGUUAGUUAUACCCAUAUUUUUGCAUUAAAGGUUUAAAGCUCAUUUUAUAAUAGUUUCUUAAUUAUUAAUUUUUUACAGUUUAAAUUAUUCUAAUUGCUCAAUAAAUAUCAAUAGAUUUUACACCACAAAACUUGAAAGUUUUUCACAUUAUUUAUCACAUAUUAUUCUUCCCUAUACACAUAAGUCUCCCACUUUCAACAGCUUUUUAUGAGUACUUUUUUCUUUCGCUUUCAGGCAAUAUUACAUCAUUGUACAGUCUAUGUAUUGGCUUUCAAGAUUUUAUCUGCUAGUUCAAAUUUCCAAAAUUGAAACAAGGGUUAUAAUGCCAAAGCAACAAAAAACUGUACUUUAAAACAGGAAAAACCAAAUAAUAUAUAAAGACGAGGUUUUCUAAUAUUACAUCAUUGUACAGUCUAUAUAUUGGCUUUCAAGAUCUUUUAUCUGCAAGUUCAAAUCCAAAAUUGAAGUUGAACGAGGGUUAUAAUGCCAAAGCAACAAAAAACUGUACUUUAAAACAGGAAAAAACAAGUAAUAUAUAAAGACGAGGUUUUCUAAUAUUAACUUGGCUUUCUUAAGGGAGAAAUUUUAGAAUAUAUCAGAGAUACCACGUCAGCCAUAAAAUAAGUAAAUGAUAUUAUGACAUGUGUGCAUUUUAUUUAAAAAAUCAUGUAAGUAGUGGUUAUAUUAAAUUCAACUACACAUGACAUGCAUACAUCAAUUGGUUGUAAUACAUUAGAGGUAUUAUUGAAUUUCUCUUCUUUAGGAUAUAGCUAACACUAACCUUAGUCCGCUUAAAACUUUGGCAUUGUAAUGCAUAAAGUGAAAAAUAAGAAGACUGAACAAUUAAAUUUGACUAAAAUGACGUAAUGCUAUUUUUUUUUUUAAUGUGAAAUUCAAUCAAGAACUUGAAUGAAACAAAUUUGAAUUGACAACGACCUAAGUAAUGUAUUUUAAAUAAUUUUAGGGUAAUUUCUUUCUACAAACGAGGACUCAAGAAACAAAUACCCUUAAAAUCAUCAUAUAUUUAGUCUAAAUCAAAAUCAAUUUUUUCUUUGAAUUUUUUUUUAAGACAAGGGUAGGUAAAUCCCAAAGUUUUUUUUUUCCACCUCUACCUACCAAUAUUCAAACUUCGACAGCUAACCAAAUAAAAUUGUUAGAAAACCACUCGACCAAGCCCCUUGGGCACAAUUUUUUUCUUAUUUUUUCUUUUUUCUUUUUUAAAGAUAGAGGGUGGGUAAAAUCUCAAUUGAUUUUUUAAUCUUCUAUAUCCCCGAGGAUUUGAUCUUGGGUGAUUAAUUAAAUAAAACUAUUUGAAAACCACUCAACUAGGCCCUCAAGGACAAUCAUAUCUUAAUUUGCUUAUUCAGUAGGUAGAAUUAUUUAGAUAUACUCAGAUUUUUUGUAAUUAAUGUUAUUGUUUUCUAGUUCUCCAUAAUUAGGUAAAUUUAUCUGUAUGAUGCUUGAAUUGGUAAUCUCGAGGGCUUAAGUUAGUAAAUUUCGAAAGAACAUAACUAAGUUUACAUUUACAUAUGUACAAACACAUACACGUGCUCAUGGGCAUGGGUGUUUUUUACGCGCUAUUCUCUAUAAAUAUCAUGAUAUUUUUCUUAAGCCUUGUUCAAGCUUUAAUAGUACUAGUUGGAAAAUAAAAGGAAAAAAAUCUUUUUUGUUGCAUUGGAAAGAGGGUAAUUGGCGCUAAACCUCAAAAAGAGGGUGAUUGUUGUCAUUUGGUGGCUGGUCCAAUCCUAGGAAGUGGUUUGCAACAGCUUCAAUGGAGGGGUGACAAAAGGAGUAAGGCUUGCCAGAUGGUGAUAACACCACAAUGGCAAUAUCACCUCUAGGGAGAGUGACAAGCUUACUGGCCUUCUUGUAGAUACCAGAUAUACGUUUGGAGAAUGUUAUCAUCCUGUCAUCUUUAUUCUCAAUCUUCUUCAUCUUGAACAUUAACUUCUCCAAAUGAUUAAGACAUAGAGGAUUGAAAAAGAGGAGACAGGGUGAUUACAUUCUCCAAACAUAGAUCCGGGAUCUACAAAAAGGCAAGUGAGCUUGUUACCCUCACUGGCUCUGAGAUUGGCAUUAUUGUGAUCUCACCAGCAAGCCUUUCUCUGUUUGUCAUCCCUUAAUUGAAGCUAUUACAGAUGGUUUCCUGGGUUGAACUAGCCAUCAAAUGACAACACUCAUCUGUUUGUUGAGGCUCACCGAAUAGGUGAGAAAUUAAUCAUUUGCAUAUAGUGAAAGUAAAAAAUUUGCAUGCAAAUGUACUUGAAGAAAGAGAAUCCAGCAGUGGCGGACCUGUAGGUGGGCUACAGCGGGUUAUAGCCCGGUCUUGGUUAGGAAAACAAUCAUUUAUAUCCCUUAUAUUUUCGUAAUUUUAUGUAAUAAUAGAGCUUUUAUUUUGCUUUAAUAAACGUUCCUAACUCAAUUACCCUUAUAUUUUCAUCAAUUUUAUAAUAUAGUAGAGUUUUAUUUUAUUUUUAAAUGUCCUUAAUCUAAUUAUAUUUUUUUCCAAUUGAAAUUAAUGACUUACUUUAUAAAAUGAUUAAAUUAUACACUUAUUGAAUAGACUGAAAAUAUUAGGGGGCUAAAAGGUUACUACUGCUUUAUUUUAAAAAAAUUAUAAUUGAAAAAAUUAGGUCAAAAUAAUAUAAAAUUAUUACUAGUACUAAAGUACUUACAAAAACAACGCAUAAUAGCAAUUAUCAACAUUUUCAUAAACUUUUUAUGUGAAUUUUGAUAUUUCAUUUAGUAGUUACAAUAACUAAGAGGAUAAAUUAGAAAAUAAAAUUUGAGUAUUUUGAGGAGUUUUUGAUAGAAGAAUUAUUAGCAUAUGAUACUUCAAACAAAGUCAGAGCGCCUACUAAAGAAAUAAUGGUACUUAGAUACAUUUUUAUUGGAUGAGUUUAGUUUAUUAUUGAAAUUUUGAUUAAUAAUAUAAUUAUAAUUUUAAAAGAUGAAUAAAUUUUGGUUGUUUAAUUUAUUUAAGUCUAAUAGUUAAGUACUUGACUUUAAGCAUUAAAGUUUUACAUUCGAUUUUUAAUUUAUUAUAAUUACAAGUAUUGAUUUAAUUUAGUUUAAAAUUCUUAAUUGAUUUAUUAAUCCUUAUAUAAUUACAUGUUAUUAUAGGUUGUAAUGUCGGAUUCCAUAAUUGAAAAAUAGUGUUUCCACAUUUACUGGAGUAUAAUCUGUUGAUAAUAGGUUUUUCCACAUUAACAUUUUUUUUUGCUACAAUUUGAAGCUGAAUAAAAUUAACAUCUCUGCACUUGAUGAUAGUCUCUGAAUAUUGAUGGAAUUCAUAUUGGAAGAUCAAAUGUCAUUAAUGUAACACAUUCAAUGAUAACCAUUGGAGAUGACUAUGUCUCUCUUAGUGAUGGCAGUAAAAAUAUCCUAUUGUCUGAUGUUUUUUGCAGACCAGGACAUGGGAAUCAUUGUUGGCAGCCUUGGAAAAUAUAAAAAGGAAGAAGACGUAGUUGGAUUGACAGUCAUAAAUUGCACCUUCACACGCACAAGUAAUAGUGUGAUAAUCAAGAUAUAGCCUGAUUCUCAGGCUGGAAAGGCUUUCAAUUUCACAUUUAAAGACCUUGUCACGAAUAAUGUGGAAAACCCACUGUGAUUGAUCACGAUUAUUGACCACACAACAAAAGUACCAUAAAAGUUCAUAAACAUUAACUCAUUAUGCAUUAUUUGCUUAUAUUUCUAGAUUUAUGGACGAAACUCAUCUCGAUAUGCUAAUGUUAGCUAAUAUUUCCUAAUUACCCAUUUUAAUAGGUUCCUUCAUAUUAAAUGAAGCCCAACACCAUCUUUCAUUAGAAAAGCCUAAAUUAAUAAGCCCAACUCAUGGAAGAUUCUAGAAGUAGGUAUGGAUGGUGUUAGGUCAUAGGUUUGGUAGGUGAAAUAUAUGGCUAUUAUUUUUUUGUAAUUUUUGUUUGAAUGGUGUAGAUUUAUUCUCAUGUAUUAUAAAUACUUGCUUGUAUCUUUUGGUUAGGCAUCAAGUGAAGAGUGAAGAACUAAAAUAGAGAAAGCAAAGUGAGCCAUGAAUGCUAUAGUAUCUUUCUCGUAAAAUAUCAACAAAGACCUUCAGUUUAGCAAAAAUCUUUUAUUACCCAAAUAAUUUUAGUUUUAAACAGUUUAGUCCUCCUCGGUUUUCAACAAUUGGUAUCAUAGCGUGGUUGGCUGGGGACCACUGUUGCACUAUUGCCAAAAGUUCAUAACAACCAAGGACUAUUGUAGAGAAGUUGUAAGAAUACAAUGAGGUCGAUCGUUAGAUAGUGAGGAGUUUAAAACUCCGUAAGUCCAUUGGUGGAGAUAAAGCUUGCCUAGUAUUGACAAAAUCUUGCAAUUACAAUGGGUGACCUUUAAGUAGUUGGAGGAGUCAAAAAACCCAGCAAAAAAAAAAAAAUUACAAUACAUAAGGAAUAUUGAUAGAGUCCUACCUACAAGGCCAAGACCUGUAGGAGAAUGUUUGCAGUAGAGAUUUGAAACCACCAAUUAAAGAUGUCGUUUUGAAGAAGUGGAACGUUAAAAGUAAGAAGGUCAUGUUCGCCAUCAAAAGUACAAUUGAAAAAGAGAUGUUACAACACAUAAAAAAAGGUUAAAACACUUAGGAGGCUUAAGACACUUUUGCAACGAGUUUUUCAAAGAAAAAUAACACACGACUACAACUUCUGUAGAAUGAGCUAUUGUUAAUUUUACAACAAAAUGUAACAGUAGACAAGUACAAUUGAAUAAGAAAUAUUGCAACACAUAAAAAAGACUAAAACACCUAAGGAAACUUGAGACACUUUUGCAAUAAUUUUUUCAAAGAAGAGUUUCACAGGGCUACAACUUCUAGAGAAUGAGCCAUUGUCAAUUUCAUAAUGAAACAUGACAAUAGACAACUACUUCAGUAAAGUUAAAUCCCUGUACUGUGAAAUUUCUGAGUUAGAUCCUAUUACUAUAAUUUAUUGAUAUAGAAUAAAAAUAAUUAUUAUCCAUGGUUUGAGGCCCCGAAUUUAAGAGCUUUGUUACAGCUAUCCAAGUUUGGCCAACCCAAUCAACCAUUGAAGAAUUUGAAAACUUGCUUGCUAAUUAAGAAAUGGAUGACAAGCAAAUGAAUAAGGCCUUAGUAAAGAAUGACAAGGACACACUCUUCACUAGUAAGAAGAGACAUCGAUUCAGACAAUAUAGUGGUGGAGGAUCUAAAUAAGAUGUUGAUAUGUUAAGAGGUCAUCAACAAGAAGGUAGCUCACAGACAUACAGAGAACAAAAGGAUUAUGGUAAUAAUGGCAAAUACAAGCCAAAUAAAAAGUUUGAAGGAAAUUGUUACAACUGCAGAAAACGAGGCCAUAUGGCGAAAGAUUGCUGGUCUAAGAAGUUAAGUUUUUCUUAAAUCCAAUAAGGGUUAUACUUGAAGUUAAGAUUUGUGAAGAACUAGACAUAUGUACUUACCUUGUAGGGUAGAGAGAUUAGAUGUUCAUAAUGUCAUACCUUAGGUAGAAUAGCAACUGGUCAUUAUUAGGAUACUUAAGGGUAUGAGAAGUCCAACACGCGACAGCUGAUGAUGCAAAAUAAUUCUGCCAGUGCUGUAGGAAUUAUUGUAGCAACUGGUACUAAUUUGAUGAAAAGCUCUCAACCCAUGAAGAGAGUUUGAUCACUCAACUACUUCAUUCUCAUUAGAUUCUUUUACGCAAUUUAUCUAAUUUAUUUCAUUAUUGUAGUUGUUUGUUUUAUUUGCUUACAAUUGUUCGUUUCGGUAGUAAUCAACUUUAACUAGGUUCAUCUUGAAAUAAAGGUAGAUUGCACUAUUGUGGUUGCUGUAACAUUUCUAGUAACAUCAAUCCAUGUGGAGACGAUCUAGAAUAUUCAUCACUUUAUUACUUGUUGUGUACACUUGCACAUUAGCAUCAAUAGCAACUGAGUAGAAAUUUACCAACAAGUUUUUGGCGCCGUUGCUGGGGAUUGAUUGUUUAUUUUCGAAGUGUGAAGUAAAUCUUGACAGAUAUAAUUUGUGCUAUUUAUUGACAGAUCAACACUUGCAUGAGCAAAGACAGAUCUAUUGUAUUCCAAUUUGAUCCUGAGAUUGAAAGGAUUGUAAGGAGACUGCGGAGAGAUUACAGAAAUUCAAAAAUUGUUUUAGACAUGGAUAAUCUGUAGGAUGUGGGAAAUUUGGACCCUCACGGGCCACUAAAACUCUGUCAACAUUCAAGAGGAGCAGAAUGAGCAUGUUAAUCAGAGACAGCCAGGCAACAACAAUAUUAUUUACAUGGCUGAUGACAGAGACAGGGCUAUCGGAGAUUAUGAUGUGUUAACUCCUUAAGUUGUACAUCCUCAAAUAGUCAGACCUAAAAUGGAAGCCGCAAACUUUGAACUUAAGCCAAUGAUGUUUCAAAUGUUGCAAACAGUGGGUCAAUUCAAUGGACUACCAACUGAAGAUCCUCACCUCCAUCUUAAGUUAUUUUUGGAAGUGAGUGAUGCUUUUAAAAUUGCUGGAGCAACACAAGAUGCUUUAAGACUAAAGCUUUCUCCUUACUCCUUAAGAGAUCGAGCAAGAGCAUGGUUGAACUCAUUACCAUCUGAUUCCAUCAUUACAUGGAAUGAAUUGACUGAUAAAUUCUUAAUGAAAUAUUUUCCACCAACCAAAAAUGCAAAAUUGCGGAAUGAGAUCACUUCCUUUCAUCAACUUGAAGAUGAGAGCUUGUAUGAGGCUUGGGAGAGAUUCAAAGAACUGCUCAGAAGAUGUCCUCAUCAUGGUAUUCCUUGUUGCAUACAGUUGGAAACCUUCUACAAUGGCUUGAAUCAAAGCACGAGAUUGAUGGUUGAUGCUUCAGCAAAUGGAGCUUUGUUAUCUAAAUCUUACACUGGAACUUAUGAAAUUUUGGAGAGAAUUGCCAACAAUAAUUAUUAGUGGCUAUCAACUAGAUAGAUGGCAGUAAGAGGAGCAGCGGGGGUACAUAAUAUAUAUGCAAUUACAGCAUUAUCAGCACAAGUAACCUCAUUGACUAACAUGGUGAAAGCCAUGACUUCUGCACCAGCAACAGUAAAGCAAGUUGUUGAACUGUCUUGCGUGUACUGUGGUGAAGAGCAUUUAUUUGACAAUUGUCCUGGGAAUCCAGCAUCAGUAAGCUAUGUGGGUAAUUUCAACCGGCCACCUCAAAACAACCUGUACUCAAAUACUUACAACCCUAGAUGGAAGCAACACCCAAACUUCUCAUGGAGCAAUCAGAAUCAAAAUGCUCUAGCACUGAGUGGACAGAACAUAAAUACUCAACCACCUGGUUUGCAUCAGCAGAAUCAAGGGCAAAAACACACCAGCCAUGAUCCACUUACUUAAUUGGAAACACUGAUUAAGGAAUACAUUGCGAAGAAUGAAGCAAUUGUGCAAAGUCAAGUUGUAUCUCUAAGAAACCUGGAAAACCAAAUUGGACAGCUUGCCACAACAAUGAGUAGCAGAUCUCAGGGAAGCUUGCCCAGUAACAUAGAAGAUCCAAGAAGAGAGAGAAAUGAACGCUGCAAAGUAAUCAACUUAAGAUCUGGAAGAAUGUUGAUAUUCCUGUUGAUGUGACUAGAAAAAGGUUGGAACUUAAUUCCUUACAAGAACCACCUCAAGAUGAGAGCAUGUUACAGCAACCCAGCCAUCAAGAUACUGAUGUUAGUGGUCAAGCUGCAGCAACUAUAGAAGUGAAUCAACCAAUAAAUACUGAAGAAGAAGUUGCAACACCAGCAAUUUAGGCAUCCACAUCCUUUCCCACAGAGAUUCCAGAAACAAAAACAAGACAAGCAGUUUAGUAAAUUCUUGGAAGUACUGAAGCAAUUAUACAUCAACAUCCCUUUUGUAGAAGCAUUGGAGCAAAUGCCUAAUUAUGUGAAAUUUAUAAAAAAUAUUUUGGCCAGAAAGAGAAGGUUGGGAGAAUUUGAAAUUGUUGCUUUAACACAUAAAAGCAGUCACAUGCUCCAAAGUAAGAUUCCUAAAAAAUUAAAGGAUCUAGGAAGCUUUACAAUACCAUAUUCCAUUGGAACUAGGUACAAUGGCAGAGCAAUAUGUGAUUUGGGAGCCAAUAUUAAUCUGAUGCCAUUAUCUGUAUUGAAGCAGUUGAGAGUAAGAGAAUGCAGGCCAAAAACAGUCACUCUGCAAUUAGCUGACAGAUCUCAUGCAUAUCCUGAAGGAAAAAUUGAGGAUGUACUGGUGAAGGUUGACAAAUUUAUCUUUCCAGUGGACUUCAUUAUAUUAGACUUUGAGGCUGAUAAAGAGGUACCCAUUAUACUUGGAAGACAUUUCCUAACAACCGGGAAGACUCUAAUAGAUAUGCAAAAAGGAGAGCUAACAAUGAGGGUGAAUGACCAACAAGUCACAUUCAAUGUAUUAGAGGCUAUUAAGAACCCUGAUGAGGCAAAAGAUUGUAAUUUCCUGAGUGUUGUGGAUUUUGUUGUAGCAGACAGAAUUGACAGAUGCUGCAGUAAUGAGGUCAUCAAGGUUGCCACCUUUGAGAGCUUUGAAGAAAAAGUGUUGCAGCAAACCAGAUAGAUUGGAUGGAAAGAAAACAAUCUAACAGACAUAGCAGAUUUGUUGAACAUCUAAAUCUUUUAGACAAGGAAGUAAAGACAACUUUACCAUCUAUUAAAUCACCUCAUGUUCUUGAGUUAAAAUUGUUACCCUCACAUUUGAAAUAUGCAUAUCUUGGUCAAAACAACACACUCUCGGUAAUCAUUUCAUCUAUUCUGGAUGCAGGUCAAGUACAGAGCCUGGUAGAUGUGCUUGGGAAAUACAGAAAAGUAAUUGGAUGGACCAUGACAGACAUUAAAGAGAUCAGCCCAUCUAUAUGCAUGCAUAAAAUUCUGUUAGAAGACUGCUACAGGAAUUCAGUAGAGCAACAGAGAUGGUUAAACCCCAUUAUGAAGGAGGUUAUGAAGAAAGAAAUCAUCAAAUAGUUGGAUGCUGGAAUCAUAUACCCGAUAUCAGACAGUUCAUGGGUGAGCCCAGUUCAAUGUAUUCCAAAGAAUGGAGGAAUAACAAUAAUAACUAAUGAGAAUAAUGAACUUAUUCCUACAAGAAUAGUGACUGGAUGGAGGGUAUGUAUGGAUUACAUGAAGCUCAACAAAGCCACUCGGAAGGAUCACUUCCCACUUCCAUUCAUAGAUUAGAUGUUGGACAGACUUGUUGGAAAACAAUACUAUUGUUUCCUAUAUGGAUAUUCAGGCUACAACCAAAUUGCUAUAGCUCCAGAGGAUCAGGAAAAGACUACAUUGACCUGUCCUUAUGGAACUUUUGCCUUCAGAAUGAUGCCCUUUGGUUUAUGCAAUGCUCCAGCAACUUUUCAGAGAUGUAUAAUGUCUAUUUUUUCAGAUAUGGUGGAGCAAACAUCGGAAGUCUUCAUGGAUGAUUUCUCAGUCUUCGAAGAGACAUAUACUGACUGUUUACACAACUUGGAAGAAGUUCUUAAAAUAUGUGAAAUGACUAACUUAAUACUCAAUUGGGAAAAAUGCCACUUCAUGGUGCAAGAAGGCAUAGUGUUGGGUCAUAAGGUGUUCAAGAAUGGCAUAGAGGUAGAUAAAGCAAAUAUAGAAGUGAUAGAUAAAUUGCCACCUCCCACUUCAAUCAAGGGGAUUAGAAGUUUCUUGGGUCAUACUGGAUUUUACAAAAGAUUCAUAAAAAACUUUUCCAAGGUAGCUAAACCACUAUGCUCAUUACUAGAACAUGACAAGCCUUUUCAUUUUGAUAAAGACUAUCUUCAAGCCUUUGGAAAAUUAAAGAAAGCUUUGAUCACUGCACCAGUGGUUAUAUCACCAGAUUGGACUCUACCAUAUGAACUGAUGUGUGAUGCCAGUGACCAUUCUAUUGGGGUAGUGCUGGGGCAGAGGAAAGAUAAGAUUUUCCACUCUAUAUACUAUGCCGAAAAAACUCUUACUCAAGCUCAGAUUAGUUACACCACUACAGAGAAAGAGUUGCUAGCAGUAGUAUUUGUUUUCGAUAAGUUUAUAGCUUACUUGGUGGGUACUAAAGUGACAGUAUACACAGAUCAUGCAGCCAUCAAGUACAUAAUCUCAAAAAAGGAUGCUAAACCGAGAUUAAUAAGAUGGAUCUUAUUGCUUCAGGAGUUUGAUUUGGAAAUUAAAGAUAGAAAGGGGACUGAGAAUCAAGUAGAAGACCAUCUGUCUAGUCUAUAAGCAGACGCAGGCACAUUGACAAAAAAAGACAUCACUGAAACCUUUCCGGAUGAACAACUGUUAGUAAUACAGCAGGCAGGGAUGUUGCAGCAAUUAGGAUCUCCAUGGUAUGCAGAUUUUGCUAAUUACUUAGUAAGUGGAUUGCUACCACCUGAGUUGAAGUUCCAGCAGAAAAAUAAAUUUCUUUAUAAUGUUAGAAGCUACCAGUGGGAUGACCCAUAUUUUUAUAAGUUAUGCUCAGAUCAAGUCAUACGAAAAUGUGUUUCAGAGGAAGAAAUUCCUCAUAUAUUGAAAUCUUGCCAUGCUGCAGCAUAUAGAAGAUACUUCGGUGGUCACAGAACAGCUGCUAAGGUUCUGCAAUCAGGUUAUUACUGGCCCUCUAUUUUUAAAGAUGCUUAUGAAUUUGCUAAAUAUUGUGACAGGUGUCAAAGAACAGGAAACAUAACUCAAAGACAUUAAAUGCCAUUAACGAACAUUCUUGAAGUGGAGAUUUUUUAUGUAUGGGGAAUAGACUUCAUGGGUCUUUUUCCACCAUCCUUUGGGAACUUAUAUAUCCUGGUUGCUUGGAUUAUGUCUCCAAAUGGGUAGAAACUGCAACAUUACCUACCAAUGAUGCUAGAGCAGUAGUGGACUUCCUUCAGAAAAACAUAUUUUCCAGGUUUGACACUCCACGAGCAAUUAUUAGUGAUGAGGGUACUCAUUUUUGUAACAAAGUAUUUACUGCAGCUAUGGUAAAAUAUGGAGUCAGACAUAAAGAAGCAACAACAUAUCACCCACAGUCCAAUGGCCAGGCAGAAGUGUCUAAUAGAGAGAUUAAGAAGAUCUUAGAAAAAGUAGUGAACCCAUCAAGAAAGGACUGGUCCUUGCGUUUACAUGACUCCCUAUGGGCCUACAGAACAGCAUAUUAAACACCACUUGGCAUGUCUCUCUACCGAAUUGUGUAUGGGAAAGCUUGUCACUUGCCACUGCUUCAACUAUGUGAGCUUGAUGAAUUACGCAUGUUCUCAUAUGAAAAUGGAAGAAUUUAUAAAGAGAGAGCAAAACACUGGCAUGAAAAACAUAUCCAACACAGGAAAUUAAUCCAUGGUCAACUAGUGCUGCUCCAUAAUACGAGGUUAAGACUAUUUCCAGGGAAACUGAAAUCUCGAUGGUCUGGACCCUUCAAGCUGCUUAGAAUCUACCCUCAUGGGAUUGUUGAUCUCUUAGAUGAAAAGACAGGCCAGGAAUUCAAAGUCAAUGGGCACAGAGUUAAGCAUUACAUGCAUUCAGCUGCAGAUUGUUCAAAGGAGGUCUUACUCCUUAGAGAACCAAGUUUAUGAGCACUCAAGUAAGGUCAGGCUGAAAGACCUUAAAUCAAGCGCUCAAUGGGAGGCAACCCAUUGCGAAGACAAUCACUUCAAAUGAGACGGAUCCUCCUUGGUUUUGUCAAAUAUUUUUCAUCUUAUUUUACUUUUUUUAAAAUUUUUUUAUUUCUUGUUAUUUAUUUUUGUUUCCCUUAUUUAGAACUAUUUAACUUCUUUUUUUCUCUUUUCUGUUUUGUUCUUAAAAAAAAAAUGCCAAGUCACGCACUUAUUGAAGUUGGAUUCAAUACUAACAAUUGGGGUUGUAUUGUUAACAGAGUACUGAGGCAAGCCACUUGUCAGCAGCUAUUGGAGGAGAGAAUGUAACCGUUGCUAGAACAAACAAUUGGGUGCUGCAACAAACAAUAUUACUGUUCAGUUACUUCAAGAUGGAGCCUCUCACAUACCGUUGGAGAUAAUAUGUGAUAGAUGGGUGGAUGGAUUUGGAUAGAAAUUGAGGAAGAAUAUUUUUGAAAUUAAUGCACUAAUUGCUCUUGCCUAUUUUUAUGGGAUAUGCUUAAUGAAUUUAAAAAAAUUCUUCCCUAAUUUAUCACUUUUUUUUUCUGGAUUUGUUCUCAUUUAAUUCCUAAUUCCACCUAUAUAAGGGCGUCAUUGUGCAUAUUGACCUCUAACACUAUUUUAUCUCCCCUUCGCAGUUACAACUCCAGUACUCCAUAACCUCUUCUUCUCAUUUUACUCUUAGGCAUAUUACCAUCGAAUUCUUACUGCUAUAGCAAUGCCAAGGUUCAAAAGGACAGCCAGCCGACUAAAAGAUCCCUCACGAUUCUAAAGUUACCAUGCAGAGGAAAAAUAUGAAGAAUUCAUUGAACCACGGAAGAUUCUUGAGGAAAAAAGGUUUCAGUUCCCACCUCAACCCACAGGAAUUGUGCAAUCAUUAUACAAUGGUGCAGCAAAGCACGGGUGGCUAGAAUUCUGUAACCACCCUCGAGACCCUGUGUUGCCAUUAGUGAAAGAAUUUUAUGCCAAUUUGGUAAGCCCUGGUCAGCAUAAUAUUUGGGUAAGAAACUCGCUUGUUCCAUUAGAUUAUCGAGUUAUAAAUGUUUUCUAUAAUUUACCUGCUGAAAUUAAUUGCGAGUAUGCCAAGUUGCUUGACAAAUUAACUCCGUAAAAAUGGAACAAAAUUUCACGACACUUAUAGUAGAAGGUGCAUCUUAGGCUAAUGAGAAAGGGCGUGUCAUUAAUAUGAUAGAUUUAAAACCCAUUGCUAAGGUGUGGGUGAAAUUUUUAAAAUCCAGACUUAUGCCAACCACCGACACCACUACUGUUUCACAAGAAAGGUUGGUACUAUUGUAUGUUAUUAUUAGAGGGCUUCCCAUAGAUGUGGGGAGCAUUAUCGAAAAUGAAAUUCGGGACUGUGCCAUGAAAAACCACAAAACAAUUGCCUUGCUAUUUCCUUCACUCAUCAUCAACAUCUGUGUGGUAUCGGGAGUUCGUCUUGAUGCAAAAAAUGAGCAUGUCAAGAAUGAUGGUGCCCUUACUGCACGCACCAUCGAGAGAAUUGCUGGUGAAGUUGCUGGAGCCCCAUUUGAACCAGCUGCUGUAACAGGGGCAAGACGAGUUAUUGGGUUAGAACAAAGAAUCCAAGCUCUGAGCACCAGUAUCAAUGAAUGUGCUGAAGCUCAGCAGAGGGAAAACAAUCGGUUUUGGAGCUAUUUGCAGCACUUGGACAACCACCUGCACCAAUUUGUUGUAUAUAUGAAACGUAACCACUGAGAUUUUCCUGAUUCAUUGCUCCAGUAAUACAAUUUUGCUACCAACACUACAGAACCUCCAGCAGCAGUCAGUGAAAAGGCUACUGAUACAAAUGAACCAGAAGAGAAAGCUACAGUAAAACCACAAGUAGAGGCCGAAUCAGAUGAUGAUGACCAUUCAGACCAGCAUGAAGAAGAGGAUGUUAAGUCCACAAUCGACAGUUCCCCAAUAGAGACAUAAAAAGAGCCUGAGAAAGAACUCGAGGAACCCCUAGUUAAGACCUCUUCCAAAUCCAGAAAAACGCACAUCAUACAAGAAGAGGAAGAUGAACCUAUAGAGGAACCUCUCAUUCCAGUCCUUUCUAUAAAGGGCAAAGAACAAGUAAUCACCCCUCCUGCCCUGACGUUGAAGCCGAGCAAAUUGAUGCAGAGUUGGAAGCUGCAGCAGCCAGAGUCACUCAUACACCCACAGAGACAAAGCAGCUGCUUGAUAUCAUUGCCGCCAUCAUAGCUGAGGGGCAGGCAGAUGAAGCCCCAGCUCCAGCUCCUCCACAGCAAACUCUCAGCAAACCUAUUCGUUCUAGUCCUAGUGGACCUAGCAAAAGAAAGGGAGGAACUUCUAGAAGCGUUGCUGCAGCAGCCUCACCAGAACCAAAAAGGACCAAAUUUGUUUCAACUAAGCAGGCUGCCCCAAUUGCAACUCCUCCCACCAGUCCAUUGUAGAAAAAGAAAAAGACGUUGCCAGCUACCUUACCACAAGAAUCCCCUAAGGAUAAGCUGCGAAGUGCAUCCAAAAAACGCUGAAGUCACUACACAAUGUGGCAGCAAUGUCCAAACAACAAGGGAGUAUCCCCUUCCUGCUAGUUAUUUUAUUUCUUUCUGAAAAACUUUUCUUUCGUUAAGUUUUCAUUUUCUGAUUCAUUCUACAUGUCAUUGUCUGGUUAUGUGGUUGUGUUUUAUAUGCUUGUGAGGACACAACACCAAUCAAGUUUGGGGGGGGGGGUUGUGUUUCUUUGUGUUUAUGCUUGUGUUGUGUGUUGUGUAAAGCUCUGUUAUAUAAUAUUUGUGUAUGGAUUUGAAAACCUAAUGAAGAUAAAUUGAGUGUUAUUUAGUGUUUAUGAGAAUGCCAAGUAGAGAUAGUUAUAGAUGGAGAGUGAAAUUAUGUCCUGACACUUAGACCUUGGUUGAGUUUUAUGAGAGCGCUGUAGCAAAGCCAAGAAAACUAAAAAGAGUAGAAAAUGUAUCAAGUUUGGGGGAAAAAUCUGAUUGAAUUGUGCUCAUUAUAAAAUAAAUUUAGCUCCAAUGGCUCAAGUUAUUGAGUAACCAGGGCUGAGUAUGUACCCCAUAUACAGACUUGAGUCCAAAAGCAACAAGAGUUACGAGCAUUAUUGUAGCAAUUGUUUAAAAAAAAAAAAAAAAAAAAAAGGCCCUCUGCUAGGAUAUUGAGUAGCUAGGUUUGUUCAUGAACCCCAUGUUCAACCUUGAGUUAAAAGAUAUCUUUAGAUAAGGCUAUGUUAUGAAUAUUGCUACAGCAACUCUGAUCUGUGCAUUGAUUGAGUAAUUUGGUGUCAUCAUAAUAAGUCAUCGACAUUCGCAUGAAAAAAUAAAUGUUGCAGUGAAGAGCGUUAAGUGUUCUUAGCACAGUUUGAGUAUAUGUGAAUAUAAUUGUGUUCUACCUUUGAAUUACAUGCAAUAUCUUGGUAAUGUUGUAGUACCUCUGGAACUUGAUCAAAGUGGCACACACACACUUUGGACAGAAGGAAGCUUAAGUCUAGAAGCUUAAGUCUAAAACUGAACUGCUAUGGUUAUUUUGCAUGAUUAAGAUUGUGAUCUGAGGGUGGACGAAUCCUUGCAAAUUUGAUGAAAGAGCUAAGUUAUUUGUUGCAUGAUUGUGUGCAUGAAGUGUUAGUAUGUUGUCAUUACUUGAAGACAAGUAACGGUUUAAGUUUGAGGGUGUGAUAACUCUAUAAAAUGAGAGUUAUUAUGGUAAUUUUAGACUUAAAUCAAGAUCACUUAGAGAGUAAAUUAUGUGUUUUUAUUGUAUUUUUGUUAAGUUUUGCAUAAACAUUCAUUUUAGUUUACUUUUAAUAAGUUUUGCUUGAUUUAAAGUAAUUCGUGCUCAAAACAUGUGCAUAAUUGUAGGUUUCUAGAAGUUUAUAAUUCAUAGAAGAGAUGUUGAUGCAGUAGGUUGGCAAAAAGGAGGAAGAAUAUGGCCAUAAAAGAAGUGAAACAAAACCUGGAGCAGUUCAGAGUUAUAGCCGUUGCUGGAGCAACCAUUACUGUAGCAAUCCUGGAACAACGACAGAGAAAACUGAGCGCGGGAUAUCUGCAGAAUUGCAAUCUGUAGUUUAUUAAUCUGACUCAUGCGCACCUUAGGCUUUUAUUUACCCUAGUUUUCAGUUAUAAAAAGGGGUGCGCAUCACAUAAAACGACGGCAAGGAAUUAACAUUGGAAAAAUAGAGAGGAAAAGAAGAAAACAAUCGGAAUUCAAGGGAACCAAUUCUGCAUCAGUGAAGAAUCCAGUAGAGUUAUUUAGAUUCAAUCUUCAUCGUUCUCUACUUGUUCUUUUCUUUACUCUUUAAUUGAACCGAUGUAUUUCAUGACCAAUAUUUUGUUAUUUGUUUUUCUUUUUUCAAAGUAUGAACUAAGUUUGCUUGUAGUUGAGUAACAAACAAUCUAAAUGGGUUUUUGAUUGUUCUUAUGAGUUGCUAUAUAAUUGCUGUAGCAUUUUACUCUAGUAGCUAUUAUUAUAAUCAUUAUUUCGGUUGACCACCCAUUUAAUGGUUCAAGUUAAGAUAGAGCCAAAAAAGGGUAUGUCUUAGUGGAUAUUAUUAGAGUAAUAUUUGAUCUUAAUUUAAGUUUCCUGGAUUAAGUUUUUCUUGAAUCUCAUAAGGGCUAUACUUGAAGUUAAGAUUAGUGAAGAACUAGACAUAGGUACUCACCUUGUAGGGUAGAGAUUAGAUGUUCAUAAUGUCAUACCUUAGGUAGAAUCGCAACUGGUCAUUGUUAGGAUACUUAAGGGUAUGAAAAGUCCAACACGCGACAGCUGAGGAUGCAAAAUAAUUCUGCCCAGUGCUGUAGGAAUUGUUGUAGCAAUUGGUGCUAAUUUGAUGAAAAGCAGUCAACCAUAAAGAGAGUUUGAUCACUCAGCUACUUCAUUCUUAUUAGAUUCUUUUACGCGAUUUAUCUAAUUUCUUUCAUUACUGUAGCUGUUUGUUUUAUUUGCUUACAAUUGUUCGUUUCGGUAGUAAUCAACUUUAACUAGGUUCAUCUUGAAAUAAAAGUAGAUUGCACUAUUGUGGUUGCUGUAGCAUUUCUAGUAACAUCAGUCCCUGUGGGGACGAUCUAGAAUAUUCAUCACUUUAUUACUUGUUGUGUACACUUGCACAUUAGCAUCAAUAGCAACUGAGUAGAAAUUUACCGACAAUGGUCCACACAAAGUGUCAUUUUAAGAUUUGUAUUAUGCCCCAAGUAUGAAGAAAAACCUACUCUUAGUAUCACAACUAAUAUCAUCAUGCAAUUAUGUCUUGUUCAAACCUCAAGAUGUCAUGGUGUAUCAAUAUCUAAAGAUCUCAGGGACACCUAUGGAAGGAUGAAGGUUAGAGUCAGUCUAUGUAUUGGCAGUUGAAAUUGCUUAUGUAGACAAUACUUAAGGGAAUGAGAUAGUAUAAUUAUGGCAUGCAUAGUUUGGACAUGUUAGCUAUUGCAUGUUGAAGAUAAUCAUGAACAAGUCAAUGCUCAGAGGUCUAUCUCAACUUGAUGAAAGAAUAGACAUAGUGUGUGCAAGGUGUUAGCAUGACAAGGCUCACAAACUCCAACAUGAUGAGUUGAAAUUUAGAGCAAAAGAAUGAUCAGUGGCAUGCAAUACAUGGUUGUUAGCCUAAAGGGCUAUACAUAAUGUAAUUUUGAUGAUAACAAACAUAUGUAUUAAAUGAUUUAAUAGAUAUUUUAUUUCACAUUUUCACAAGUUUUUGAAGGGUAAUAUUUAUGCAAGUGAAACAAGUGAAAUCAAGCUCAAGACACUCAACGGACAACGACGAAAUCAAGAAUAAAGUUUAGAGCUCAACAGACAAAUUAGUGCGAUAAAUUCUUGUAAAACCGGUAUGAUUUAAUUGAUGCAUGAUUUAGCAUUUGAGAAGCUCAAGAGAUUAAUUUAAUUAAUUAUUUUUCAUAAACUAAAAGGUUUUAUUUUUAUAAGAUAAAGUACUUUGUGGUUUUGAGUAAUUUGGACUUAAAUGCAAAGUUUUGAAAUCUUUGACUUUAAUAAGUAUUAUUAUUGAAUUUCAGAGUUGGACCUUUUUACAAACAUUUGAAAUGUUUUGGGUCAUACUAUAAUUUAUGAAUAUUUUGGACUAAAGUGAAAGGUUUUGAGAACUUUGAUAAAUAUGGGUAUUAUGUUGAAAAGGACUUUUUUUGCGAAAUAAUAAUAUCUUUGGGGCCUUAUCAUAAUUUUAAAAAGUUUUGGAAAGACAACUAUUAUUAAGAAAUUUUGAAAUUGGACAUAUUUGUAAACUUUUAUGACGUUUUGGGCAGUAGUAUAAUUAUAGAAAGUUUUAGGCUAAAGUGUAAUUUUAGUGAACAGUAUUACUAUAGCAAAAUUCAAAAAUAAUGGUAAUAUCAUUGUUCAUGAGCGACUAGCCAGAUAAAUCAAGCGGCUAACCGCUUGGGCGCUGGAAUUUGCCUAUAACGGCUAGUUUUCGGGCUUUAACUAUAAAAACUCAACUCCAACUUCAUUUUAAGAACUAAUGCAAGAAAAUAUAAGAUCAUAUAACAUAUAUUGAGCUUCCAAAAUGUAAAUCAUCAUAGAUUGAAUCAAUAUUGAGCUAUUAUUUGCAUAUCCACUCUUAAAGAGUUUUUUUUUCAUUUCUUAUCAAAUUGUGAGUGUAUAAGUGUGAGAAACACUUGGGGUAAAGAGAUUGGGGAGAUAAUCUCUUGAUUGUAAAGGUUCAUUGACACCUUGGAAGUCAAUUGUAAGAACUUGAAGCCUGGGGAGGUUUGGAUAGUGAAAUCCUCGAGCUUGGUUGGCUUGGAGGCGUGGACGUAGGCAUAUUGCAUAAUUUUUAUCAUUAAGGCGUUAGAUUGAUUUGUUGUGCGAAUUAUAUUGCAUAAUUUUUAAAAACCCAAUUCACCCCCCCUCUUGGGUUGCGUUACUUGCAUUUCAAUGGUCACAUUCAUAGAUGACUUUUCCAAGUAUAUAUGGGUCUUUUCUACAAAAUAAAAACCUAAUACCUUUUUUAAAGUUUGAGGAAUUUAGAGACAUAGUCGAAGGAGAAGUAGGGAAGAAGGUUCGCUGCCUACGAACAGACAACGGGGGAGAGUAUACAUUAGGGGCAAACCUAGGACUUCAUAUUAUCCCGAGCUAAACCAAAAAUUUUAUAUUUUGAAAUAAGUAUAAACAUUCAUAAGUAGAAAGAAGUAUUUCAAAUAAGGGGGACACGAAAAACCCUAUACAUAUGUACUCUUAAUAAAAAUAAUUAUACAAAAAGAGUAUGAAAUAAAAGACAAUUCAUAUAUUAAAACACUAUUUUUCAAUUAUGGAAUCUGACGUUACAACUUAUAAUAACAUGUAAUUAUAUAAGAAUUAUUAAAUCAAUUAAAAAUUUCAAGAUAGAAUAAAUCAAUACAUAACUUUUAUGUUUAAAAAGUACUUAACUACUAGGAUUAAAUAAAUUAAACAAUUAAAAUCUAUUCAUCUGUUUAAAUUUUAAAAAUAUUAUUAGUAAAAAGUUUCAAUAAUAAACUAAACUCAACCGACCAAAAAAGUAUUUACGUGCCGUUAUUUCUUUAUCAUGCACUCUAACUCUCUUUGAAAAAUCAGAUGCUGAUGAUUCUUCUUUCAAGAUCUCCUCAAAAUACUCAAAUUUUACUUUCUAGCUUAUCCUCUUAGUUAAUGUAACUAAUAAAUAAAAUCUCAAUAUUCACAUAAAAAUUUAUGAAAUUGUUAAUAAUUAUUACUAUCUGUUUUUUAGUACUAUAUUACAUUUCCAUACUUUUUUUAAUUAAAAAUUUUUAAAAUCAAAUUAAAGCAGUAAUAACAUUUUAUAGGCAUAAUGUUUUCAAUCUAUUCAAUAAAUAUAUAAUUUAAUCAUUAAUUUCAAAUAGAAAAAUAAUUGAAUUAGGGACAUUUGUGAAAACAAAAUAAUAACCCUAUCCUUAUAUAAAAUUAAUCAAAACAUAAGGGGUUUAAAUAAUUUUUUCUAGACCACACCGGGCUGUAGCUAUAGGUCCGCCACUAGUAGACAUCAGUUGAGUUCUCCUAGUAUUUUGAAGACUAUCAGAUAUGCCAUCGUUUCACUUGUGCCAAUAAUCCACAAUAAAAUAGCACUGCUGUACCGUACAUCCGCCUUGGCCGUACAGCAGACUAGUUGGAAAAUAAAAGGAAAAAAAUGCUAGAGGAAAUGAUGGAGCCAUUGUGAUGCAACUAGUGGACAGUGCUACAAAACACAAAAUGUGGUGCUUAACAAAGCAUCUUUGUAGUGGUUUUCAAAAAAAAAAAAAGCUACUAGAUUCAAAAGAAAUUAAAGAUCAAAUAAAGGAAGAAAUUGUCGAAAUUCACAUAAGUUAGGAAGAAUAUUAAGAUUCUGAUGAUCUAAGAGAUGAUGAUAUCAAGCAUGACGAAACGCAAAGUACUUGGAAGACAAGUGUUCACUAGACCCAUAUUGAAGACGAAGAACUAAGUGAACA